GGACAACAACGCAUCAGAGAAGGGCAACGAGAAAUAAGACAAAAGUUUGAAGAGAUAGGAUCUGAAUGCCGCAGGCUCAAAGAGGAGACGAUGAACAUAGCCAAGCAGAGUGAUUACAACCAAAUCAGGAUAAACCUAAUGUUUAGCAUCUUGAAAGCCCGUGAGGACAACAACUUUGCCCAUGCUGAUCACCUUACUGGGCUCCUCCGGUUGGUUGAAUUCCCUUCGCCAUUUCUUUUCUUGAUUCUUGGGAUUCCGGAUUUCAUAAUUAAUCUUGCUAAUGCUAGCUAUUACAAGGAGGGAAACAUAAGUUAACGAACUCAAAAUAAAAGAAUCAAAAUGCACUGUUGAUAAUUAUUUUUCUCUCAAUAAUUGUGUUUCCUAUUCGUUGUGUUGGCAGCAAGGAAAUGGAAAAGCAGGAACAAGGAAAGGCAGGCCUGGUUGGCUGACUAAUGAUCAUGGAAAACGACGAGCAGUUUGCCUUUGCAGUGACUCCUGAUCGUCUUUUCUUAUUAAAAUGAAACCAUCAGUCCUAAAUCUAGAUAUGUAUCGACAUUAGUCUUCCCUUUAUCCUUCUUCCUUUGAUGAAGUAUUCAUUUGAUUAAGGAUUUGCGUUCUCUUUCCGAAUUGAAUGUUUUGAGUUAUAGUACAUACUAUGUGAAUUGCCGGGCGAUGCCACCGAUUGUUAUAUAAACGGUAUAAGCAUUCGGUUGAGUAUAACCUGAGGUAAUCGAAGAAGAAGAUAGGCAGACAUAAUUAAACAAAAUGAAAAAAAAAAAUAAAUUUACUAGAAGUAUUGAGGUUAAGCAAUGCAACCACAAGCUUUAUGUUAGAGAAACGUAAAUUCUUAACUAGCCUGUUUAGCUUUGCAGUAUUCGGUUGUUUUUAUUUAUUUUGAUUUUGUUUUUUAAGAUUUAUUUUUCUUAUUAAUUUUAAAAUAAAUAAAUAAAUCAUUUUUUUUUACCAAAAAAAAGGGUGUUGCUUCAAUAACAAAUAGUGAAAAAGUCUCAAAUACAAAGCCAAAAGUACAUAAUAAAUUAUAAUUAACUUGAAGAUGUCAUUCAAUUAAUUAGAUUUUUAAUUUGUUUUAAAGAGAUUAUUAGUUCGAGUAUUAUAAAUCUAAAAGCUAUUAUAAAUUGAUUGUUAAUUUUAGAGCCUUUGGUAUAUAUAAACCCCCUUAAAUAUUUAUAAUUAUCAAAAUAAUAAUAAAGAAAGAAAGAAAGAGCUACAGACUUUUUGAUCUCAUUUCACUUUGAAUUCCAGUGAGAUUGAUAUUUUCUUUUGAAAAAAAAAACUUGUUUAACUUUGUCUCAGGUGUAGAAAGGUGUUUUCAAUGGGAUUUAUUAGUAAUUAUUAUUUUUAAUAGGGACAAGUUAGUUUGUUUGCGUUUUCAAUAAAAUGUAAUGAUUUAAACACUUUUAAAAGUAAGAAAAAUUAAAACUAGUAGGAAUAGUUUUAUGGUUUUAUAGUAAAAGAAUGAUAUUGCCCUUAAAACAAAUAUGAUAAAACUUGUAUUCAGAGUCAUUUAGAUCUUUUCAAUACAGUUAUUUUGUAAUUAUAUAUUUGGAUUAAAAACAAUUAAAUCUUUAAUUAUAUAUAUAUAAAUAAUUAAUAUAUGUCACAUACAUGUUAGCAAGUGGAAGGCGCUCAUGCUCUUAAGAUGAUGUGUGCCUCCCCUAACAAUGGUUAAAAGUUGUGUCAACAAUGAUGUUUGAAACGAUGGGUCAUUCUCUUUGCGAUGGUGGGAUGCUUGUUUACGAAUGAAGUGUGGUUGAGCUCCUUAUGAACAUUUUUCUUUUCUUGUCUUUUCUCUUUUUUUUAGUCUAGAAAUUGAUGCCAACUCUUUUAAAAAUUUAUUGUGUUCUCUUGUUUGUAUUUUUAUUAAUUUUGAUUAUCAUUUUUUUGAUCAUCAUUUAUUUUUACUUUUAAUGCAUUUUGAUCUUUAAUUGAUUUGCAAUUUCAUCCAUAAGAAUUUUAUUUCAUUUAAUUUUUAUAUGAAAUUUGAUCCUUAUUAUUUUAUUUCUAUUUUUUUUAUAUACUUAUCUAGAUUUUGUUUUUCAAUUUUGCCUCUCAUAAUUUUAUUUUAUUUAAUUUUUUCAUUCAAUUUUAAUCUUUAUUUUUUUAUUGCUAUUUUUUUAAUUUUUUUCAUUUAGCUUUUAUGCUAGAUUUAGUCAUUGUUGUUUCGAUUACUAUUUAUUUUGGUUUUUAAUUUUGGAUGAUUAAGGAUUAUGCUUAGUGAUUUUUUAUUGUUUGCCUUUAAUGAGAUAAUCUUGAUCUUAUGAACCGGGUCACUAUUUCAAGGAUUAAUCCGAUUUAACUUUGGUUUUUUUUUUUUUAAACAAAAUAAUUACUUUUUAAUUUCAUCAUUUGAUUUUAGGUUAUUAGGUCUAAAUUCCCCCCCCCUUUAUGUGGUGUUAUUCCGGUGUUAUAUCUUAGGUUGAGUUUUUUUUGAGAUAACUCAGGUUUUUUUUAAUUUUUUUAAUUUAGUUUUUUUUAUUUAAUUUUUUAAUAUUAAGUUAUUAAACCUUGAAAUUUAUAUUUUGUUCUAUAUAUUUUUUUUAUAAAUUUAACAUGAUCUCGAGGUCAUUUUUUUUUAUAAAAAAAUUAAUUUUUUUAAUCUGGAACUCCCAUCACGGGUCGCAUGGUAGUCCAACUAAUCUGAGUUAAGUUAAAGUUUUUUCAAUUUGUUUUUUUUUUUUUUUUACCAGUCGCACGCACUGUGUAGCGUAAAACUAAAAGUUGUAUCAGAAGAAAUGUGCAGGACAUGUGUAGGUCGGCUAAUGCUGGCCAUAAAUAGCCAUGUCUGUGAAGCUAUGCAGGUGUGCUAGUGGAGACAGAAACACUUAUGCAGAAAAGUGUGACGUAUGUUCCGGUAGUUCCAAAAAGAAUCAGAUAAAUAGUUGAGAAAUUUAAUAUUUUAAACUUGUUUUAUGGAAACAUGAUAUUUCAAAAAUAUAUUUGUUAAAUGACUUCACAAUUUACGAUGACGAGAGAAAAAUAAAAUAAAUACUUUAAUUAUACAUCAAAUCUAUCAUAAAAAAAACUCGACCAUGUGAAUCAAAUAAAAUUAAAGAAGUUCACCAAGUAGAUCACACUCAUUGAAGCUCUAAUUAUAAUAUUACUAGUAGCAUUAUAAAGUUCUGGACAAAAUAAAUCAAAUAUAAACAAUAAAGAUAAUCAAUGAUAAUGAUAAUUGAAGUGGGUCAUAUAUAAUAGGCGGAAAACAUGGUGAAAUCUAGGGUUAAGAUUAAAAAAGAUGAAAGGGAAGCUGAAGAUGAAGAUGAAGUACAACAAUCAGAUUAGCGAGAAGAACAUGCAUGAAAGUUCUGGAUGGAGAAUUAUCGUAUUCUGGAGAUAAUAUAAUUGCACUAGCACCUGCUGUUCUUGCCAGCAUUUAUAGAGAUAUGAAUUUGUUGAAAGGGAAAAUCGCUGAGUCAGCCUUGUUGCGGAUUCCAAAGGGAAUACGUGAUGGUUUAAAAGUUAAGCUCUGGUCAUCAAUGCAAUUAGUUGAGGUUCGGUGAACUGCGGCGGCCGGAGCCUAAUCUGAUUAGGAGUGGGUACCCUAGGUUGGUUCGGUGGAACAAAUUGAAACUGGAAGUUGAGAAUGUUUCGUUGGUUCUAGACUCGGAUAAAGAGAGUUUUAGCUCUGGAAAACUGGGAUUUCCUCAAGUUUUAUGGAGAAAAAGAAAUGAGGGCCGGCGACUGUUGGUUCUAGUUUGAACGACGCUUUAAUGGCAUUUGCUCGACGCGUCAGGAUUUCAAUGCUGCGUGGAGGUGGCUGUUCAGAACAGUAUUUACCGCAUAGGGUUGCAAUGCAAUUCGGAACCGACGAAGAUCUUUCAGGGUUGUGUUGGUCAGUGCUCCAAUUAACAGACCUGAGAUUGCAUAGAGGUUAAAGCUUUUGUUGAAGAGCUUGAACAGAUGAUCACACGAAUAAAAGCAGCAAGAUUAAGACAAAAAUUGUUAACCUAGCUAGCCUUCUUCGUGAGAACGAUUUGCUUGAUUUUAUUUUAUUUGAAUUCAUGGCUUCUCUUCUCCUGUUGGCUAUGCUACUAACAUGGCAGUGGGCAUUGCAGCAGGUUCCUAUAUGGAUAACUCCCACCAUUGACAACAGAUGAGAACAAGUUUAAAAGGAUUAAAGAAAUAAAAAUAUUCAUAUUGUAACCAUGCACUCUGGCAUGAAGUUAUUAUCAUUUAUCACAGUGUGCAGACAAAUGCUGUGUGCUGCUGGACCCAACGCAGAGUCUACUAGGCGUUAUCUGUUCUGUCCACCUAAUUCUGACUAGAUAAGCACUUGAGAGUUUUUUAUUUAUUUUAUCCAGUUGAUUUGUAGUGUUGUUUUGAUAUAAAGUUUUUAAGGAAGAGAUAUCUUUCUUUAAUAUUAAAAUCAAUUUGAUAUUUGUAUUUUUGUUAAUCAUUUUAUUUUUUUAAAAUAUCUUUUAUUUGUUUGUAUAAUAGUUUAAAUAAAAGCAAUAGAAACUACUAGAAUUCAGCAUUAAUUAAAUAUUGUGAUGAUGUUUGAUUUAUAUUGUGAUAACUUUAUAAAUAUCAAAUUCAAACAAAUUAUGAUGACUAAUUUAAAAUUAAUUAAAUAUUAAAAGAGUUUUUUAAUAUUAAAAUGAUGAUAUAUUAAAUCAAUCUAAAAUUUAUGGUUUAAUUUGUAAAACCCGUAAUUUGAAUCAUGAAUUCUAUUUGAAAAAAAAAAAUAAGGUUGUUACGAUGAUAAAGCAUAAACAACAAUAAUAAUUCAAGAUUUUGACUAAAAAUAAAAUUCAUUAUACAUGUGUGUUGAUUAUUGAGUUAUAACCAGUCCAUAUAUGAAAAUGAAUGAAUUUAGCAAAGUUAUUAAACUCAAUCGACCUAGUGGUUGGAACUGGUCUGAGUUUGUUAAAAGAUCAGCCAGUGCAAUGACCAGACAAAACCUGGUCGACCCAUGAUCAGGAUGAGACCCGUCGUUUUUUUUUCAAAUAUGAUUUUUCUUUUAUAACCCUUUUUUUCAUUUUUUUUAGUUGGUUAUUAACACUUUUUAAAGUUCACUAUAUAAAUACAAGAAAAAUAUUUUAUUUUUUUAAUGUGGAAUUUGAAACCCUUUAGUAUAUACUCUAUGUUUCUAAGAAAAAAAUUAUUUUUUUAAUGUGGAAUUUCAAGUCUUUUCAUAUAUAUACUUUAUGUUCAUAAAAAAAAAGUUGUUUUUUCAAUAUGUAAUUUGAAGUUCUUUCGUAUAUAUACUCUAUGUUCACAAGAAAAAUGUUAUGUUUUUUCAAUGUGGGAUAACAAACGUUUUGGUUUAAAUACUUUAACUUAAAAUGAUGAUAUAAUAUCUUUUCAAUGUGAGAUUUGAAGCCUUUUAAUAUAUAUAUAUAUAUAUAUAUAUAUAUAUAUAUAUAUAUAUAUAUAUAUAUAUAUAUCUAUGUUUCUAAGAAAAAAAUUAUUUUUUUAAUGUAGGAUUUGAAACUCUUUUGUGUGUGUGUGUGUGUGUUCUAUUUUCACAAGAAAAAAAUUACGAAUUUUUCAAUGUAAAAUUUAAAACUUUUUAUUAUACUUUAUCUUUACAAAAAAGUAAAUUUAAAUUAAUCCAAUUAACCUGUCUACCUUUAGAGCUGAUUUAAUAAUUUUGGGAUGGAAGGAAUAUUUAAAAUAGUCUUAGAACAAGUCACAUUUGUUUGCUAUCGAUUUGAAAAGAGAAAGUUGCUCUCUCGUAAUGUCUACUUUUAAAAUCAAAAGAAUCCAACAGAAAACGGCAACCAUGACCAUGCCAAAAGGGCUUAAACAAAAGCUCUACAAGAUCAAUCCACGAAAGUUAAACUCAAUUGAAUCCAGAUUUGAAUGUGCUGGGCAAUGAAAGCCCACGAUUAUAUAAAAUAAAAAAAUAAAAUUCAAAGAGAGUACUGGAAUGCUUGACUAUAACUGUAAAACCAAGCCUAGUCCAAUAAAUCUAUGUAAAAAUCCGAUAAUUCAGAACCGAGAUUAAUUGCUAGCCCAGUUGAUGAUCAUUGUUGUAACCCAAUUUUAGAUUCACAAAGAUUUUCUUGAAUAUUAUUUUAUUUCUAUUAUUAUUCAUAAAAAUCCAAAAAAAAUUCAAAAAAAUUUAAAAUUCAAAAAAAUAUUUUUCUCGAGUCAACCGCAGGUCAAACCAUGUCGACCAGGGUAAAAAAAUGAGUUUCGGGCUGUUUCGGGUCAAAAACAUCAUUUGCGACCAAAAUCGGGUUCACCAGGUCAAUACGGGUCAUACCAUGUUGACCAGGGCAAAAAAUGAGUUUCGGGUUGUUUCAGGUCAAAACCGUCAUUUCUGACCAAAAACGAGUUCACCGGGUCAAUACGGGUCAAACCAUGUCGACCAGGGUAAAAAAUGAGUUUCGAACUGUUUCGGGUCAAAACCGUCAUUUCUGACCAAAACCGAGUUCACCGGGUCAAUACAGGUCAAACCAUGUCGACCAGGGUAAAAAAUAAGUUCCGGGCUAUCUCGGGUCAAAACCAUCAUUUUCGACCAAAACCCGGUUCAUCGGGUCGAUACCCAUCAAAUGUUUUUUUUGGUAUUCCAUUAUUUUUUUGCGGUUGAAACGGGAUUUUUCUAAUACUGAUUUGAACUUUUAGUUUUACCCAUGUAAAUAUUUAUUAUUAUAUAUAAUAAAACAAAAUUAUGGUAGUUGCCGACGGUGCAUUAUUUCUUAUUAUAUAUAAUAAAACAGAAUUUAAUGAGUUGUCCCGUGGCUAUAAAUAGCCACGGGAGCAGAGGGCAAAGGGGGAGGAAGAAAAGAAAAAAAAGAAAGAAUCGAUUGAUACUAUUAACAUUUUUUAGUUUUCUUCGCGAGAGUAGGAUAUUAUUUAAAAAAAAAAUAAUUUGAAAAAUACCAAAUAUAUCCCGACUCAUCUCAGCCAUUGAAUUAAUUCAAGAUUUAAUCCUGUUGCGCCACGUCAUCCGGUGCACCGAGCUUUCGGUGCACCGCGCCACACAGGAUCAAAAACCCGGACAAUCUGGGUCGUCCGAUCAACCUGCAGAUCUAGCCAAUCACAGCCAUCCGAUCGUUUCAUCCAAGAUCCAACGGUUAACAUCCUUCAGCGGCACCGGUACACCAUACGCGUCCUCACCGUAGCAAAUCUCAGAGCAUCUCUCUCCUCUCGCCGGCGACUCUCUCUCUCUCCUCCGAUCUCCACUCCGGCCAUCUCAGCCUCCGAACCACCACAGAAAGGUCGCCAAUCCCUGAAAGCAAAACCCCGGUGGUUUUAUCGUUUUCACCGCCUCAUCUGGCCGGAAAAAGGCCGCGAUCGCGCCGGCACCGAAGCUUCAAGUCGUCGAUUCUCCCUCGUCAGCCAUCAACGGCCGUCGAGACCACCACCAACAGAAUCCUCGACCUCAGAUCUACCAGAACCGACCAUCGGUUGGCCAGAAAUCUCGCCGCCACCAACAGUAGCCGCGCGUGAGCCACACGCGCCGCCAGUGGCAUUUUCGUAAAUUUCUGAUCCGAGGGUAUUUCAGUCUUUUACCUAUACUGUGUCACUUAGGUAAUUUUUUUUUAUUUUGUAUAUAAAUUUUCUUGCAUGUUGUAAAACAAAAAAAUAAAAAAAAAAUAACAACGCGGGUCCAAACCCAUCCUAUUAUGUUAUCGUUCGUGGGUCCAAAGCCCAAUUUCAAAUAGUUAUACCCAUUCUCAACGAUAUAAAAUAAUUUUAUUUAUAAACAAAUAUGUUCGUCGACACGUCUCUUUUUUAAAAAGGACCGAUGUCAAAAGUUUAAAUACCAAAUAUGGAUUAUGUCCAUAGUUUUUUUGGUAACUUAGACGUAAAUCUCCUUUUUAGGGUUAAACGUCAAUAUUUUAGACAAGUCUCCUAUUUUUAGGGACUGAUGUCAUUUUUUAACGUGUCUUCAAUUUUUAGGGACCGACGUUAACUAUUUUUUUAAAAAAACAAAAUUGCAAAUAAGCUCAAAAUAUAAUAGCAUUUAAAUCAAAUAAAAAAACACACAAGUAAGGGUAACAUUUCUUUUGAAAGGAUGUUUUAAGGGUGGUGUCUACCUUCCCUUAAUCAUAACUAACCCAAUACCCGAAUCUUUGGAACCAGUGUCUAAUUUGGGAUUUCUAGUUCCCUCAAAUUACUAGAUGGCGACUCCAAUAAAAUUUUCAUUUCCCCCAAUUAAACAAAUCUUUUUUUGUUAAAUAAACAAAAAUGAGCGGAGCUGUCGCCCGACGUCGUGUAUCGACAGAAUGAUAAUGAUAAUUGAAGUGGGUCAUAUAUAAUAAGCGGAAAACAUGGUGAAAUCUAGGGUUAAGAUUAAAAAAGAUGAAAGGGAAGCUGAAGAUGAAGAUGAAGUACAACAAUCAGAUUAGCGAGAAGAACAUGCAUGAAAGUUCUGGAUGGAGAAUUAUCGUAUUCUGGAGGUAAUAUAAUUGCACUAGCACCUGCUGUUCUUGCCAGCAUUUAUAGAGAUAUGAAUUUGUUGAAAGGGAAAAUCGCUGAGUCAGCCUUGUUGCGGAUUCCAAAGGGAAUACGUGAUGGUUUAAAAGUUAAGCUCUGGUCAUCAAUGCAAUUAGUUGAGGUUCGGUGAACUGCGGCGGCCGGAGCCUAAUCUGAUUAGGAGUGGGUACCCUAGGUUGGUUCGGUGGAACAAAUUGAAACUGGAAGUUGAGAAUGUUUCGUUGGUUCUAGACUCGGAUAAAAUUAAAGAAGUUCACCAAGUAGAUCACACUCAUUAAAGCUCUAAUUAUAAUAUUACUAGUAGCAUUAUAAAGUUCUGGACAAAAUAAAUCAAACAUAAACAAUAAAGAUAAUCAAUGAUAAUGAUAAUUGAAGUGGGUCAUAUAUAAUAGGCGGAAAACAUGGUGAAAUCUAGGGUUAAGAUUAAAAAAGAUGAUGGAAGGGAAGAUGAAGGUGAAGAUGAAGAACAACAAUCAGAUUAGCGAGAAGAACAGGCAUCAAAAUUCUGGAUGGAGAAGUUCCAGUUUUCCAGACUGCAACAGCAGAAAUGAUAAGACCACCUGCUAAGAAGGCCAGUAAUCUGUCCUCAAUGCUGUGUGGAGGUGGCUGUUCAGAACAGUAUUUACCGCAUAGGGUUGCAAUGCAAUUCGGAACCGACGAAGAUCUUUCAGGGUUGUGUUGGUCAGUGCUCUAAUUAACAGACCUGAGAUUGCAGAGAGCUUAAAGCUUUUGUUGAAGAGCUUGAGCAGAUGAUCACACGAAUAAAAGCAGCAAGAUUAAAACAAAAAUUGUUAACCUAGCUAGCCUUCUUCGUGAGAAAGAUUUGCUUGAUUUUAUUUUAAUUGAAUUCAUGGCUUCUCUUCUCCUGUUGGCAUUGCAGCAGGUUCCUAUAUGGAUAACUCCCGCCAUUGACAACAGAUGCAGAACAAGGUUAAAAGGAUAAUAGAAAUAAAACUUGAAUUAACUUAAUAGGUUAACUAGUGACUCAAAUGACUUCAAACUUGAAUUAAUCUUGUAUUAAUUAAUCUAGGUUAAGAAAAAAUAAAAAUAACUUGACAUCAUAUUUAGUACAUGUUUGGUAUUGUGAUAUAAAAUGUUUUUUUUUGUAAAUGUCUUUUGUUUACAAAUACAUCAAAAUAAUUUUUUAAAAGAUUUUUUUAUUUUUAUAAUAGUACAUCAAAAUUAUCAGAAAAACACUAAAAAUAUAUCAAUUUGAUGUUUUUAAAUAUAAACACAUAUUUAAAAAAUACCUAAAAACAAAAACUACCGCAUUUCCAUCCGAGCUAUUUAAAAAGCAAAGAGGGAACUUUUGAGAUGAAUAAAAUCAAGAAUUGCAAUUGCUAAAUUUUUUAAUGUGUUUUUGACGUGGAACACAUAAUAAAAGUAUUAUCUAAAAAUAAAUCAAGUGUAUCAAAUGACAUUUAUAACAAAAUCAGACCAUGACUUUUAAUUCAAUAAUUAAAUUUUAAUAAAAAAAACUUCUAUAACAUUUUAAAGGACUUAUUCUUUAUAGAAACAUCGACAAAACAUCAUUAAUGUUUGAUGUAUAGAGGUAUCAACUAUAACUUGAUGUCUUAUGAUGUAGAAAUAAAUAUCUUCUAGGGCACUAUAAAAGUUUUAAAGGUAGCAUAAAGAACCAUAAUAUAGAUAUUUGAUUAGCAAGAGAAUUCCAUAGCAAACUUAAUUGAGGGGAUGGAUCAACUACUAGGAGGAGGCAAAUAAAAAACUUGGAGAAGAGAGAGACGUGUUUAAAAACUUACCUCAAGGUGAACCAAACCCUAGAUCUAUUUCUACAAACUCAUAAAGACAUCAUGUCUAUUUAGAAAGUGAUUUGUACGAUGAACUAAAAACUUUGUCUAUAGCUAAACUUUCAUAGACACUUUUCUAAUUUUGAUGAAAUUCCUUUUGUUGAUAAGAAUUUUUCAAAAAAAAAAAAAAAAGGUUUUUUAGAUUAUUGUCAAAGUUAAAAGCUUACUUUUAUUUGAACAAGAUUUUUUAUUAUCAAAAUAAGGAUUUUCCAUACAUAAAUUUACUUAUUAAGUUGAAGGUUGGUGGUUCAAUCUUGUGGUUGAUGGAGCUUGUAUUGAUAAAUUUGUAAUUUCAUCAUAAAAAACUAUAAAAUAUAUUAAUUUUAGAGUUUGUACAAGAUGAAUAAAAAAAUAUUUUAUUUUGGUCAUAUAAUCACAAUCAAGUUAUUAUUACUUACCUUAUGUUCAACUUUCAACAAUAACACAAAAACAAAACAUGGAGGAGAACUAGCUUAAGGCUAAAAUUAUUUGAGUCAAUAAUAAGAAAUAGUUGAAAAACAAUUCAAUUUCUAUCUUGAACAUACUUAUUGUUCUUACUUUAUUGAUCAAUGUUGUUGGUAAUAGUGAAUUAAUUAUUUUAGCUAUAGUUUAUUUUUAAAGAAGUAGAAUAACCAAAAUUAUCACCAUCCUUGAGGAACAACAUGAAAGCAUAAAUAUAUUGAAAAACCAAAGUAACAUGAAGUAGAGGUAACAUUUCAAAGAACAAUAUGAAGAUAAAGAAUAUGUUGAAAUUAAACCAAUGAAUGAAAAGGUAGAAAAGUUACUAAUUUACUCAGGAAAUUAGAGUUAAAAUUAAAAAAAAAGAAAGAUAGAAAAAUAUUAUCUUCCUCCUGAAAUCACAAGAAAGUUUUGUCUAAAGGAUAAAAAGAAAGAGACUCAAAAAAUUUACUUUGUUAGCAUUUUAGUAAAUGAGGUUCAAUUUAUGAACAUGUUAAUUAUAAUGCUAAGUAUUUUAUGUUUUUUUUGGAAUGAAAGAUUUCAAUUUCUAAUUAUGAAACUAACAAACGAGUUCUUCUCAAGUAAAGAAGCUUGACACGAGAUGUGCAACAAAAGUCUUAACUUAAGAAGAAGUUUGGAUGUGUUAAAUGAUAUUUUUGACAAAAAAAAAUAGUUAUAAUUUUUUAUUCAAUUGUUGAAUCAAAUUAAAAUUUUAGAGAAUGUUCUAAGGCCUUGUUUCAUAAUAGGAAUAUCAAAGCAACAUCAUCCAAGUUUAGGAACAUGCCCACAUUAGAUAAAAAAAAAUAAAAAAAUGACAGGAGAUUUUUUUUAUUUUCCUAGUUGUUUUAGGAUUUUUUUUUUUAUGUAAAGUUUUAGAAUAUUAUUUGAUUCAUAUUUCUAUACCUAAGUUGGUGUUAUCUCUUGUUUAAACAUGUUAAAUAAUCCAAAUAUAUAAAGAAAAAUACAAAAAUAAGAGAGGAAAAGACUAAUAUUUCAUUGAUAUUUUAUAAUCACUAUAAUUUAAAGGAAUAAGUUUGAUUUAAAUACAAAAAAAUUAUAUAUAAACUAAAUUAAACUGAAAAGAAAAUAUUAUUUUACUUUCAAUAAAUAAAACAAAAUAACUUAUAUUUCUUAACAAAACAGUGGAAUUUUUCAUUAAAGAGGAUAUUGAUUAUUAAAAAAUUUAUUUAGAACUUUUAAGUUUUAGAGUUUUCUUUAUAAUUCAGAGAUAUAAUUUUAGGACUUGAAAAAAUUUAGUUUCUUUUUUAUAAAUAGUUUAUGGAUGUAAUUUUUAAUACUUGAGAAACAUUCUUCUCGAGAAGAAAAAAAGGAGAUAAAAAGUUAAGGGAUUGGACUGAUUGUGUUCUGGUGCUGAAGUCUAGAGUUUGGAGGUUCUGGGGAAAGGGUUUUGCUAAGGUUCAAGAGGAAAUGGGCAAAGCAAGGACAAAAGUGAGCAGAGUGCAUGCAGCUGGGAAUCGUGAAAAGGCACAACUUUCCUGGCACACCGGAAAAUCAAUAAUAAAUUAAUACAGGUUAGCUGCUAUCAAUUUGCGAAAUGCUCUUAGUAAUUUGAAACCUUUUUAUUGCAAAAUCGUCCUUGGCCCACAGGAAAUGUAUUUCAGUUUAGUGGUUUCUUGGUGAUUGAAGUGGUAACAAGAAGAAGCAACCGCCGACAACAAGAACACUGCUGCUGCCCUCCACUUUCCUUUUUCCCGCGAAUCCCUUUCGCUGUAUGUAGUGAACUGUUCACAAAGCUUGGACAGGGAGGCACUUGAGAAGCAACAAUGCUACAUGCCUAAUAGCUACUAGGUAAAGGAUGCUCUUACAGACGCCAUUUGAAGAAAAAAAAAGUUAAAGUUUUUUUAAAAACAAUCUCGUAAUCUUUUCAAAAGUUUACCCCUAACUGUGUUUCUUAUUGUAUUUAAGAUAAGAUUUGAUUAAGAAAUCCAUUGAAUUUCAGGCUAAAAGGCUAGAGAAUAGGAGUAUCCUUUUCUCUCUAAUCCUUUAUCCUUUGUGUGAUUGGAAAUGGAUCUGUACUAAUUAGUACCUUGCUAGAACUGACUUCACAGUGUAAACAUCAAGCUCCCAUCUUUUCUGUUCUUUCCAAACAAGAUCAUGACCUUGUGAACCAAAAACAGCAAAAGAGUCUGCCUAAUAUUUCCAAUUUCACAAUUUAAUGGGUCCAGUGACCUCACAGGAUCCUUCUAGCCUUUUCCACGAAUAAAAUUCUAACAAGCCUAUGCGAUUGCUUGUUGUUUGUUAACUGAUCCUAUAUCCACUGAUAAUGGCUAAGCAAGCAAAGAUUUUCACUAUCAGUUUGCUUCAUUCACACAGAAACUCAGCUAAGAACUGACUGAAACAUGAACCAUUGCACAAUGCUGGUACACUUUACAUGUAUCAUUACAGACAUACCAGCUACAAAACAUACAAUUAUAUCUGCAAAGAGACAGGUUGGCUCCUAACAAUUUUUGCUACUUAGUUCGUGCAAAAAGUAACUAAAACAUAAGCCAAAAGAGCUGUAGAACUCUAUAUAUCUACCUCACUCAGCAUGUUAAUUCUAUUUGUAUUAACUACAUUGUGAUAUUGUUGGUCAGACAAACCUUCUUCUGGCUAAAUUUAGCAGCCUUUAGCCCAUCAAUUUCUUUCCUAAGCUUGUCGAUCCGAGCUUCAAGUUCUAAUCCAUCUGUGUGAAUAUCAAAACGACUCCUACUUCCUCUUUCAUCAUCUUUGAGAAAACCUGCACCAUGGAGUACUGGACUAGGGCUAUCUAAUUUGUUUUUGCUGGAGUUUUCCGUGGUUGUGCUUUCUUUUCCACUCCUAGGUUCCUUCUGAAUGCUGCUUUCCUUCAAUUUCAUCUCUGCAUCAACAUUUGUAACAUCAUUGUUUUCUGCAGCAGAAGAUAAUAGAUUAUGUGUAGUAGCCGGCAAAGACUUGCGAUCACCAUAUAUUAUAUGAUCAACACUUUUGAGCUUUUUAUGAGUAAACAACUCCUUCAAUGUUAGAUCAUCCUCCUCAUCAGAGUCCAAGCCUUCAACAUGUUGACAUUUAGGAGGGUAACCAGGAGGAUACAGAGGAUCAUGAUCUGACUUCUUCCCUUUGAAACAUGGAACCGAAAUUUCUGAACCUUUUGGAUUUCCACUUCCAUCUUUCCCACCAAACACUGAUUGCUUCCACCAUUCCAAGUAUCUCAUAGUAACAUCUGGCUUGCAAUGUCUUGAUGGAAUAUAUAGCAUUGCAUUUUUUAUUUGCUUAUCAAAACGCCUCCAGGAAAGUUCUUGAGUUUCAUUUCUUCUCUUUACAGGACCUGGAAGAUCUUGAUCCAUGCCAAACUGCAUUGCCACUCGAUGCGGGCUGUACUGUUCUACACACCCUAUUCCAACUAAUUGACAUGCUCUCAAGCAUCGAGUAAAGGAUUUCAAUUCGUCAUCAGCAUCAACAUCAACAAGCACCCAUUUCUCUUCAUCACCAUAAAUUUUGUAGCACAAACUCUCCACGGCUGUGGCAUAAGGGCGCCACUGGAAACUUCCUUCAGAAUCUAGGGCCAAUCUUACAUUCCUAACGGUUGAACUAUUCACAUUAUGCCAUCUAGCUAAUCUCGGCACUUCCAAGUCAGUCACAUUAGGCUUUGGUUGCAAUUUUGGAAACCUCUCCCAGGCCCAAACCUGAACUAUAUGAAAUGGUGACCAAAUGGUGAGUUCUAACUUUUGAUCAUCAUUGUCAUCCUCAAAAGAAACUAAAUUGGACAAAGCUAGAAUCUUUUUCUUCAACAACCUCAAGUCUCGGUAAAUGCUUGCAAGAAGGGCAGGUCCAAGUGCAAUUUUGAUACCUCUAGCUAGACAAACAGCAAUUGGAAAAACAUGUUUGGGAAUGCUCAUAUUUGGGACACUGGGAAAAACAAACCUCGACAACCAUAGUGACAGAAAAGCCUCGUGCUCGACUUCGCUGUUGUUUUCCAUGAGAUAUUUAAUCCAGGAAGAAUGGUCAACUUUUUUGCUUUUUGACCGCCUCAACAGUUCUCGGAUUUCCAUUAGCUUUUGUUCAGCUUCAUGCAAUUCCUCUGUUUCAAGAGGGGUAAAAACAGGGGACCCCAAAACAGAGUACCCUGCAACCAAAAUAUCUUCCAAGGUGAUUGUUGCUUCACCCCAAGGAAAAAUGAAUGUGUUAGUUUCAAAACACCAUUUCUCUGCUAACCCAAUAAGGAAAUCAUCGUCUCUUCCGAUUUGGUAAAGAGAACUCAUGACUGCUUGAUAGAUUCCAACUUUUCUCCAUGUUGCUUCAUGCAAAGCAGCCAUUUUAUCAACCCAUUCUUUCCACCUCCUUUGUGCAUAUCUCCAACCAUGGAAUGUUAUUCUUAAAGGCCACUUUUUGGGUUCAAAGUUAGAGGGCAAGGAGAAGUUGUAGUGUGAAGGGUGUUUGGGAGUGUUUUCAUCUAUGGAAGAGGUUAUUGAGGGUUUGAUAAAAUGGGCUGUUCUAAGUGUUGGCUGUGCAUCGCCAGAGAGUGAAACCAUAAGUUCCUUUCUCGUUUCAACAAUGGGUCCUUCUGAUUUCUCCAUAGAAAAAAACGGUGAAGUUUCUUGCAGAGAAAGAGAAGGAGAGGUUCGGGCUUAGGGAGAGCCAAAGGUUGCUGACAUGAUUGUUUCGAACUAGCAAAGGAAGUUAAUGUGACGAUACAAUUUCAAGUAUUCAAAGCUUCCUCUAGAAUCUAUACCUUCACUACAUCUCUUCCAAAUAAUGUGUUAAAAAGAAUAAAAAUAAAGGCAGUAGAAAUGUCGAUAUAAAGUCAUGGCUCAUGAUUGCAUAAGGGAAUUAAUUUAAUUUUUGGAUGCGUAAGAAGUGGGGAGAGAACUUUAGAAAAUGGAUAAAAAGAGAUUCUGUUUAUUUUUUCUUUUUAAAAGUUUUUUUUAAAUAAUAUUUUUUAUUUUAAAUAAAAUUUUUAAAUAUUUUUACAUCGUUUCGAAGAAAAAAAGAGAAACAUUCAUUGGGAAGAAAAUAAAAGGAGCUAAAAAGUUUAGGGCUUGGACUCUGUGUUUCGGUGCGAAAGUCAAAGUUUGAGGUUUUUGUGGCAAGGGUUUGGACUGAAGAAAGCAAGGGUGGAAGCAGCUGGUAAUCGUGAAAAGGCAUAACUUUUCUGGCACACCGGAAAAUCAAUAAUAAAUUAAUACAGGUUAGCCCAUUUAUUUGACGUUUGAAGUAAUUUGAAACCUUUUUAUUGCAAAAUCGUCCUUCGCCCAUGGUGUGUACGCCGUUUUUAAAAUUGCAUUUGAGAGUGUUUUAAUUUGAAAAAGUGUUAUGUUAUUGUUUGGAGUUGAGUUUCAACUUGUUUUUAUUGAAGUUUGAAUUUUUUUUAUUUUAAAUUAAUUUUUUAAUAUUUUUUAAUUGUUUUCAAAUAUUGAUGUUAAAAAAAAUUUUAUUUUAAUAUAUUUUUAAAUAAAAAUUACUUAAAAAAACAACCACAAUCACAUUUUUAAAUACCUUCUAAGUGCCUGUUUGAGAAUGUUUCAAUCUGUGUUAUGAGAUUGUUUCAAUAUGUGUUAAAGUGUGUUUCAAAAAUAUAUUUGUCUUAAAAAAUAUUAAAAUUGAUAUUUUUUAAUUGAUAUUUUUUUAAUACUUUUCAAUAAUUUUGAUAUGUUGAUAUUAAAAAUAAAUAUAAAUCUAAAUUGAUAUUUUCAAUGUUUUCUGAUAAUUUUGAUAUAUUAAUAUAAAAAAUGAAAAAAUUAUUUUUAUUUAUUUCUAAAUAAAAAAAACUUUUGAAAAAUAAAUGCACCAUAAUAUCUUAUGUAUACUAAAUUGAUGUUUUUAAAAAUAUUUUUUAAUAAUUUUAAAAUACUGAUAUUAAAAAUAAAAAAAGUUAUUUUAUUAUAUUUGAAAAAAACUCCUAAAAAAUACAGGACAAAAACAUAAAAAUGGAUAGCAGCUUUGUUACAGAAAAUACUGCUCAUCCUUGCAGCACGUACAGUGUAGGAAACAACCAUUUUUCUGAUCCUUACACUGCAGAAGUAAAUAAAAACUUCAGACACUCUCUCCAUAGUUGUUGUCUUUAUUCCUUUUAACAUUUCAGUGUCUAUCAAUUUCUCGAUUCCUAGAACAAAACCUAGCUCUUUGCCUUUCCUUUGUGGAAAACGCCUUGAAGAGUUUCUGCAAUAAUUGGUUUCCUUCAUUCUCCCAGGAAACAAACAAACUUUGGGAUUCUUAUCAAUACAUAAUAGGUCCACUCACCAUUGUGAAAACCUCUUGAAACCCAUGAAUGGAAGAGGUGAAAGAAACCAUGCUCGAUGUUAGAGAAGAGCAAAUGGUGUCGUUCACUGGUGGCAGCAAACCAACUCUAAGAACAGCCCAUUUCCUCAAACCUACUGUGGCCACCAGUACAAGGUCAGUCCCCAAGCCCCCUACAUGUUCUCUAUCUUCUCUACCUUCAACUUUUGAGCCUAAAGAAUGGCCUCUGAAGAUAAACUUCAGUGGUUGGCAGAAGCCUAAACUGAACUGGGCAACAUGGGUUCAUAAGUUGAAAUUCAAGUAUCAGCCUUUAUGGAAGAAGGCUGGAAUUUAUGAAGCCAUCAUGCAUUCUACAUUCAUUGUUGUAAGAGACUAUGAUUUUAUCAUUGGACUUGCAGAGAAAUGGUGUCCUAAAACCAACACAUUUGUAUUUCCUUGGGGAGAAGCAACCAUCACCUUAGAGGACAUGAUCAUUUUGGGAGGGUACUCUGUUUUAGGCUCCCCCGUUUCUUCAUGCUCUGAUUAUGAAAGCAGAGAAUUGAAGGAAAUUGAAGAUAAACUAGCUGAAGCUGGGAGGAAUAUCAGCAGGGGUAAGGUUAUUAAGCCUUGCCAAUCUAAAUGGAUGGAGAAGUUCAUGGACAGCGGGAGUGAAAUCGAGCACGAAGCUUUUCUUUCACUUUGGCUGGCAAGGUAUGUUUUUCGAGAUUCUGAUAUUGUACUCAAGGGCCAUUUUUUUCCAAUAGCAAUUCAAAUGGCAAGAGGGGAACGUAUUGCACUUGCUCCAGCAGUUCUGGCUAGCAUUUAUAGAGACCUGAGUUUGUUGAAAGAAACAAUUGUUUUUACCACCAAGUUAGAGACUUUUGAGGAUGGUGUAUUGGCACUAACAAUUCGGUCACCGUUUCUGUUAGUCCAGAUUUGGGGUUGGGAGAGGUUUCCGAUGUUCCAACCGAAGCCCGUUUUCCUCAAGAAUGGUGAUCCCAGAUGUGCUUUAUGGGAUAGUGUGAAAGGUGUCAAAGUUGAGAAUGCAAGGCUGGCUUUGGAUUCAGCCGGGGAGGCUUUUCGAUGGCGGCCUUAUGCAAACCCAGGAGUAAGAGGUUGGCACUUCCCGGAGUUUUACAGAGAGAAAGGAGAAUGGCUAGACCUGGGAUCUAAUGAAGAUUUGUUGUCAUUUUCCCUAUGCUUGACAGUAUCCAAGAUGGAUGGUCUAGGCUGUUCAGAACUGUAUCUUCCUCAUCGUGCGGCAAUGCAAUUCGGAAUGGAUCAAGAUGUUCCUUCUCCUGUAGCUCGAUCAAAUGAAAGCUGCAAAUGUGCUUCGAAAAAUUACAUUAAGUCAUUUUCCAAUUCCAAAUUCUAUUUUCCACCUCGGUUAUUCGAGUCUGAUGUUACCAUUAGAUACUUGAACUGGUGGAGAGGGUCGGUGCAAGAGGUGACUAAGGAUGUGACUGAAGGUGUUGUGCGAAGGAAACGAAGUUUCCGAAAGAGAUCAAAUCGAGUUCCAUGGGUUUCAACAAAGAAUGAAGGCAAUGAUUUAGAUGUCCCCCCUGGUUUUCCUCCCAAAUCUGGCAGGAUGAAAGAAGGGGAUGUGGCUGAGAAUGAAAAAACAACUUUGGAGGAUAUAUUAAGAGACUGUAGCCUUCAUAACAGUUUAGACAGAAGGGAAGGUACAUCUGUUUAUACUUAUGGUCUCGCUCACAGUCCUUCAAUUGUAAAAACAGGCGGUGCAGGUUUUCGAAAGAUCGAGGCGCUAACACAACCAGAAGGAAAAACCACGCAGGUUAAAGCUGGAAAGGAUGGUUUGCAAAAAGCCUCAGAAGACGCAGAUGUGUUCAUAGCUGAGACUUCUGCUAACAUGGCGAGCACCAGCAAAGAUGCAGAAGAAAGCAACGGCUCUGUCUUUCAGAUCCCAGUAAAUGAACUUGAUGCUCGGGUUGCUAGGCUUGAGAUGGUAAUGGCCAAGAUAAAAGCAGCAAGAUCAUGUUUGUCAAAAACCCCACAGAAGAAUCUGCUCCCCUGAUGAACUAAGCAGUAUGAUUUCAUUUAAGUGCAUGUUUCCUUUGAUGCUUGCUAGGCUCGUAACAAUUGUAAUCCUUAAAUAGGUCUACAUUUCUGUGUAAAUUGCUUGCUUGAAUUACAAACCUUCUCUGGAUGUAUUACCCAGCCUCGAGUGUAAUCAGUGAAAAGUAAAAUCAUGGAAUAUUUUCAGUAUAAAGUGUAAACAGGAUGAUUUUAUGGAAACACAUGAUAGGCACGUUUCGGUAAGAUAGCUAGAUAUUAAAAAAUUAUUAAUUUAAUAUAUUUUCAAAAUAAAUAUUUAAUCUGGCCUUAUAUAUAUAUAUAUAUAUAUAUCAUGUUGUGAUUAGCAUGUGACUAUUUGUUUUUUAAUUAAGUAUUGUUAUGUGUUAGGGACUUGGUAUUGACAAAACAAGGGGCUAGAUAAAGAUAUAUAUCUUUUUAAAUUAACACGGUUUUUUAAAACACUUGAAAAAAAUAAUAUGUUUUGAAAAAUAAUUAGCAAAAAUAAUAUAAUUCGAUACAUGUCGUAAUUGAAAAUUGCCAUAUUUUAAAGUUAUCACUCAAAUAAAAUGUGACAUUUCAAACAAAUUGUUAAAUGGCUUCAUAAAUUACAAUAAAAAAAAAUGAAAGAGAAAAAUAAAGACUUUGAAACACAUCAAAAUUAUGAUUACAAUACCACCAGUAUUAUUAGAAAAAACUCAACAAAAAAAAUUCAAUGACACUAAGAAAAAUCACCAAUGAUGCAAGUGAGCAAUUAUAAUGAGAAAACAAGAUAAAUAAAAAUAAAGAAAGAAAAAAAGAAAAAGACAUGGAGGUACACCGAAACCAUGAUUAUGACACCGUUGGUACCAUUAAAAAGAUUUUGAUUACAAGAAUCUAACAAUACUGAAAAAGGUCACAAAUGGUGAUUAGAAUGGGUCGCACAUAGUGGGUGGCUUACUUGUCUUUGAACGGAAAAUGUGACUCACUUUGGUCAUCUUUGGUGACUCACUCCGGUUAUCUUUGGUAAUAUUUCUUGGUGUUUUUGAAUUCUUCUCAUCAAGAUUUUUUUGAUGGAUCUUGUGUUAUAAUUAAAGCUUUGAUAUGUCUUUAUGAUCAUUUUUUUUUUCUCUGCUCAUUGUAAUUUGUGCAAUUCAUUCAACAAUUUCUUUUUGAAAAUGCUGCAUUUCUGAUCAUAGAUGACUUUAAAUGUCACUUUUUUCGAUCAAGACAUAUAUCAACCAUGUUAUUUUUUAAUUUCUUUUUUCAAGUUGUGUUAUUUUACUAAUUUUUUUUAAAAAAUAUGUUGUGUUUUCCAAUUAUAACAUGUAUUAACUGUGAUAUUUUAUAUAAAAAAAUUCAAACUAUUUUAUUUUACUAUUUAAAAAAAUACUCGUGCUAAUAAGAAAAUUAUGUUAGAUAAAGGGACUUAGUGAGUAUUAGCUUUUGUUUUGCAUUGCAAAAUAUUUUUCAAAGUAUUUUUAAAUUUGUUUUCCUUAAAAAAGAUUAAAUUAAUUUUUUAAAAAAAUGUUUUUAGAUAAUUUUGAUAUGUUGAUAUUUAAAAUAAAUUAAAAAAAAUCUAUGAUAAAUUAUUUUGAUAUAUUUUAAAUUAAAAAACAUUUUUAAAAAACAUUUUACAUCCCAAUACUUUACAAACACUUAAUUUAUAAGGUAAUUAAUGUUCGCACCCGCACAAUUCUCUUUGUGGAGUGAUAAAAUCUAUUAUACUAAAUUAUAUAUCUCUUAAAUUGUAUGUAAAGUAACGAAUACAGUUACUGAGUUACAAAAUGGUUUUCUCAAUAUUAUAUUAACAAGUCCCAUGUUUCAGUUACGAAGCAUAUCUACCCAUUUCUGGUGCUUCUCUUCUAUAAUUAACUUUUUUCAAGGAAAACAUGGUGAAAUCUAGGGUUAAGAAUAAAAAAAGAAGAUGGAAGGGAAGAUGAAGUACAACAAUCAGAUUAGCGAGAAGAGCAAGCAUCAAAAUUCUGGAUGGAGAAUUAUCGUAUUGUAAUGAGAAGUUCCAGUUUUCCAGACUGCAGCUGUAGAAAUGACAAGGACACCUGCUAAGAAGGCCAGUAAUCUGUAGUGAAUGAGGAAAUUCAUGGAUAGUGGCAGCGAGAUUUAGCAUGAAGCGUUUCAAGGUAUAUUCUCCCAUAUACUUAUGAUUCCAUCAGGAAGCUUGUUUUCUCUAUUGUAAUUCAUGUCGCUAGAGGCAAUAGAAUUGCACUUGCACCUGCACCUGCUGUUCUUGCCUGCAUUUACAGAGAUAUAUAUGACGUUGUUGAAAGGGAAAUCGCAGAGUCAACCUUGUUGGGGAUUCCAAAGGGAAAACAUGAUGGUUUAACAGUUAAGCUUUGGUCAUCAACGCAAUCAGUUCAGGUUUGGGUUUGGAAGAGGUUCAAUGAACUGCAGCCGAAGCCUAAUCUGAUGAAGAGUGGGUGCCCUAGGUUGGCUCAGUACUGGGACAAAUUGAAACAGAAAGUUGAGAGUGUUUCGUUGGUUUUAAUCUUUGAGGAUUUCAAUGCAAUUCGGAAGUGAUGAAGAUCUCUCAGGUUGCAUGGGCUGCUGCUGACUGCAGAUGACAUUUAUUCCCACUUGACGUGUGAUGACCCAACACGCAGUCUACGCGGCGCUGUUUGUUCAGCCGAACCAAAACCUGAACUGAAAUAUAAAUAUAUUUUUUUAAUUUUUUAAUAUAUAUAUAUAUAUAUAUAUAAAAAGAAAUUAAUUUGAAGGAAAUAUUUUUUUUAUAAAUACUUUUAAAUUGUAAGUAAAAACAAAUGCUCUAAAAAUAAUUGGGGUCAUUGUAAACAAAUAAUGUUGUUUGAUUUUUAUAUUUUUUAAAUAUUUUUAUUUUGUAAUAUUGAAAAAUAUAUUAAUGCAUUCGAGUUUUGCAGUGUAAUCCAUUAAAUACACAACUUGAUCAUUAACUUCAUUUAUUCAACCUUCUUCUGUUUGCUCUCCUAUUGAAGCGAAAUGAAAAGCAAGAAGCUACUGGAUUUAGGGUUUGUUUGGGAAUGCAAUUAAAACUAUGUUUUUUAUAUAAAAAAAAAUUCAUUUUUUUAAAUUAUUUUCAUGUUCUGAUAUAAAAAAUAAUUUUUAAAAAAUAAAAAAUAUUAUUUUAAUAUAUUGUUAAGCAAAAAAUACUUUAAACAACAAUUGCUACCAGACUCCCAAACAUAUCUAUUGAUUACAACAAACAUACAAUCAAAGCUUUUCAUUUUGUUAAAUAUUUCUAUGCACUACAAUGUAUUCAUGUUUUCAAGAAAUAUAUAUAUACAAAAGGAAGUAAGAAAACCUCGUCUACUUAAACUCCUAUUCUAGGUAAGAUAAUAAUCUGUACAAAUAGAUUUCAUUACAAUCUUGGAAUCCAUACAUAUCUUACCAGCUAAUACACAAUCUUGUUAGCUAACACUCUCCCGCAAAUUGGUGCAUAGAUGUCUAUCAUGCCUAACUUGCCAAUCAUACUAUAAAAAUCCUUGUUUGAUACUGCCUUAGUGAGGAUAUCAAUUAUAUGACUUGUAGAUUUAACAAACAGAAAACAUAUAAUUUUUUUAUAUCUAACUUCUCUUUGAUAAAAUGACGGUUUACUUCAACAUGUUUAGUUCGAUCAUGUUAAACAUGAUUGUGUGCAAAUCUGAAUUGCUACGUUAUUAUCACAUUACAAAUUGAUAGAAUCUAUAUACUUGAUCUCUAAAUCCUUCAAAACACUCUUGAUCCAUAACAACACAUAUAUUCCCUAAAUCAUUCCUUGAAAUUCUACUUCUACACUAUAUUUUGCUAUAACUUUCUAUUUUUUACUUCUCCAAGUAAUCAAAUUCCCUUCCAUAAAGGUCGAAUAACCAGACAUAAACCUCCUAGGUGUUUGAUUUCUUGCCCAGUCUGCAUCAAUAUAGCCUUUAAUAUUUGAGACACCAUUCUUCAAGUAUAAUUAACCUUUGUUAGGCGCACCUUCAAGAUACUUAAGAUCAUGUAGACUGCAUCCAUAUGCUUCUCAUUUGAUGCAUGCAUAAAUUGGCUCACGAUACCUAUAAUAUAUGUUAUAUCAAAUCUAGUAUGGGUUAGGUAAAUUAACUUAUCCAUAAGUCUUUGAUACCGACCCAUAUCUGUAGGGAGUUAAUCUGGAAAGAUCCCAAGUCGAUGAUUCGUUUGUAUUGGUGUUUCAAUAGGUUUGCAAGCUAGUAUCUCAAUCUCACUUAGAAGAUCCAAUAUGUAUUUAUGCUGUGAAAGGGAAAUUCCUUGUUUGGACCUUACUACUUCAAUGCUAAGAAAAUACCUUAGUUUUCCCAAAUCUUUCAUUUUGAAUUCUAUAGACAAGUACUCUCACAAUGUCCUCAUUUCUUUAGGAUCAUUACCUAUCAAAAUCAUGCCAUCUAUAUGCACAAUCAAUAUCGUUACCCUUCCAUCUUUAUGUUUUACAAAUAACGUAUGAUCUAUAUUGCUCUAUUGAUAACUAAUUGCUUUCAUUGCCAAAGUAAACCUCUCAAACCAUGCGCGAGGAGAUUGCUUUAAACCAUAUAGAGAUCUAUUUAGGUUGCACAUUCUGCCUUCGUGUUUGGAACUUUGUUUUAUUCCAAGCAGAGGUUCUAUGUACACCUCUUCUUCUAGAUCACCAUUCAAGAAAACAUUUUUUUAUGUUGAAUUGUUGUAGGGGCUAAUCUCAAUUUGCAGUAAUGGAUAUGAGAAUACAGAUGGUGGUGAGCUUGGCUAGUGGUGCAAAGGUCUCUUGGUAGUCGAUACCAUAUUUCUAGGCAUACCCUUUGGCCACGAGUCUCGCUUUAUAUCUAUCAAUGCUUCCAUCCGCUUUAAGUAUAACAAUGUAUACCCAUCUACACACAAUUGCAUUUUUUUUUGCUGAUAACACAACAAGUUCCUAAGUGUAGUUCUUCUACAACGCUUCCAUCUCUUCAUUCAUAGCCUUUUUUCACCUUGAAUCUGCCAAUAUAUCCUGCAAAUUAUUAGGAAUAGACACUUUGCAUAAUUGAUUAAUGAUUAGUGCAUAAGAUUCUAAAAGUCCAUGAAAAGAGACAUAGUUAUUGAUAGGAUAUUUAACAUUGGUUUUAAUGUCCAGCUUAUAUUGUUUCUUUGUAACACCUUUAUGAGGUCUUUGUGAAUACUUGGGAGUGGGUUGAGAUGUAUCCUUAGUGGUGGGAUUAUCUAGGAUAUUUUAAGCAGAAGACUCUCUAGUUGAUGGUACGAGUAAGUCACUCAUCGCAGUUUCUUCCUCACUGAGGUUCGUAGCUUUUGUGUCAUCAGCACACAAUUCAAUCAUCUCAGCUUCUUCCCCAUCAUGGUUUACAACUUCUGUGUCACCAACAUAAUCCCUACAAAGGUAAUUGUGCAAUGAUAAAUUCCUCUCGUUUGGAAUAGUUUAAGUACCAGUGAACAAAGUAGCAUUAUGCUUAUUACUACUCUCUUUUUUUUCAAAUGCCACUAGCUAUAUAAAAACACCACCUCACUUUUAUCAAAAAUAAUAUUGCAAAGCUUACCCUUUUCAUACACAUUCUCCCCCUGAAGAGGAGAGCCUAAAUCGUUUACUAAAUACUAAGGAUUCAUUUCACGAAAGGAGACAUCAAGAGAUACAUGUAACUCGUGAGUUUGAGGGUAAUAACAUCUGUACCCUUUCUGAAAAUCAGGGUAACUAAUAAAUACACAAUGUUGGGCAUAGGGAUCAAGCUUGCUACGCAAGACUUUGAGUAUGUGAACAUACAUUGUAUAACCAAAGGUUUUAGGUUCCAAGUUUGGUUGAUGGGGUAUGUAAAAGAAGGUUUGUAAUUUUUAGUAUAGGGUCUAGAAAUCAAUCACCCAGGAAGGCACUGUAUUGAUAAUGUAGACAACAGACUUGGCAGCCUCUUCGCAAUAGAAAGGAGGCAUAUUCAUUCCAAAAAAAAUGCACGUACCACCUCCAUGAUCUACCUAUUUUUCCUCUUCACAAAGCCAUUUUAUUGAGGUGUGUAGGUGUAAGAAGUAUGAUGUCUAAUUCCUUAUUGUCAAAGAUAAUCACCAAGCGAGUUCUCAAGAAAUUCCAUGGAAUUGUCAUAUUGCCAUACCUGAAUUUGUUUUUGAAAUUGAGUUUUCUCCAUGUUGUAAAAUUCCUAAAAAAUAGUACUAGCAUCACUUAUCUUAGGUAAUAAGGAUACUCACGUCAUACGAGUGCAUUCAUUAAUAAAGGUAAUAAAAUAACAAGUUUUAGCCAUAGAUGGGAUUACUGCAAAUCCCCAAAUAUCAAAGUGAAUAACCAGAAAGGGUUUAGAGCUUUUGUUGAAAGAAGGGAAGUAAGGUUUACAAUGGCUUUUUGUCAAUUCACAAAUGUCACAUUGAAAAUCCAAAAUAUGCAAUUCUAUAAACAAAUUAUGUUUUAAUUUCUGAAGCUAACUAAAGGAAAGAGGCCUUAGCCUCUUAAGCUAGAGCUACACCUUAGACAACUUCCUAUCACCUUUCGUCACAAAACAUGCCUUAAUGUACUGCCAUUUGUUAGUUGUUGUCAAUUUCAAGUAGUAGAGGUUGCCCCAUUAAUUUAACAUCACAACCAAGAGUCUUUUGGGUCAAAAUAUCCUGAAAAACACAAUAAAAAGACCAAAAAAGUAACAAUGUAAUUUAGUGCUAAAGUGAUUUGGCCUACAUAUAACAAAUUACAUUCAAGACUAUGAACAACCAAUAUUGUAUUAAGAGUUAUGGCAGUAGUUAGAGCAAUGGAGCCCUUUCUGGUAAUAAGGGAGAUAUCAUCAUUGACUAUAGAUAUGACUUGUUGGGAUGAUGAACGAAGAUUUUGUAAUUUACUAGAGUCUUUAAUCAAAUGAUCGUAUGCACCGGUAUCAAUAAUCCAAGUAUUAUCCAUAGUAAUAGCAGAAAGAACACUAGCCUUAACAAUAUUACCUGGCUGAGUUAAAUUAGUUAAAUUAACAGUAGGCAUGGAAGUCCCCUCCUAAAUUAGAUGGCUUUCACCUGAUUUCGCCAUUACAGUUUUUCUAGUAAUGUUCUUCCGUGAUUUUUUUCAAAAAUCCUACCAUUCAGGAUAUCCAAUAAGCUCAUAGCAACGCAGCUUUGAAUGACUAGAUUCACCACAGUGGAUACAAACAUAGUUAUUUGGCUUUCCUGAAUCUUGACUAUUUUUCCCUUUGGCAGAACUAGAAGCUAUUCCUCGCUGGUUUUGAUUAGCUAUCAUGGUUGUAUUUUCAAAGACCGGCCGAGAAACUCCAAUAACUUGUCAUUGUUGUGACUCUCUUCUCACACAUGCGUAGGCUGCUUCUAGGUCCAGUUUUGGUUCCUUUCAAAGAAUUUCCCCAUGGAUUUGAUCAUAUUUAGAAUCAAGACCGCUUAAAAAAAAUGUACUCACAAUCUAAUCAUCACCGCAUGAAGUUGUACAAUCCCUUCAAUAGAUUCUUCUUAGAAUGUGCUGCGAUGAUCGAUUUCCUGAAAGAUUGCAACAAGUUCAUUAUAAUACAUGGAUAAAGGCCUAACAUUCUGAGUGGUUAAAAAUGACUUUUGAUUCAGUUCGAACAAUUAUGUUUCAUCAGAUCCAUUGUAGAAGGUCCUUGACACUGCCUCAUAUAUUUUCCUUGCUAUAACAAGACGAAUGAAUCUCUGCAUUAGGUGGGGCCUCAUUGAUUCGAUGAGCCAACUCUUUACUUUAUGAUUUUUGAUAAUCCAUGUAUCAUAGUUCAGAUCAUUAGGUGCAAGUUUCACCGCUAUCACAGUUAGAUACCCAACCUUGUUGCGGUCCCAAUAUGCAUCUCUAUUAACUGCGACCAUAACAUAUAGUUGGUUUCAUUGAGAAUAAUAUUGACAGGAGAGCCGGAGGUUUCUUGUUGAACGAUAAUUGGGUUUGACAAAGGAUUGCGUGGAGUGGCUGGAACAAUUGGAUCUCGCUCUUGUUCUGCCAUUGUGAUUUUGUUUGUAGGAGGAAGUCCCUGGAAUACAAAGGUCAAGGGAGAAUGCAGGGAAGAAUAGUAAAAAAAAAAAAAAAGUUUUUCAAGCCUGAGCUCUGAUAUCAUGUUGAUUACGACAUUCAACCGAAGCUUUUCAUUCUGUAAAUAUUUCUGCGCACUACAAUGUAUUCAUCUUUUCAGGAAAUAUAUAUAUAAAGGAAGUAAAACGUCCUAGUAUGCCUAAACUCCUAUUCAGGGUAAGACUAUCUGUACAAGGAAACAACUACAAUCUUGGAAUCCAUACGUCUCGACAGCUAAUACACAAUCUUGCCAGCUACCACUAUCAAAAUGGUAGACCCGUGAUAUUUGCUGGAGAGAAACAAUGAGGCCCUUCUUGGCUCUCUCCAAUCUAUGCCCUUCUUGGCUCUCUCCAAAAUGGCGCCGUUUGUUCAGCCGAACCAAAAGCUGAAGUUAAUUAUAAAUAAUAUUUUUUUUAUUUUUUAAAAUAUAAAUAUAAAUAUUCAACUUUUGCAGCUUAACCCCGUUAAAUACGCAACCUUAUCAUUAAAUUCAUUUAUUCAACCUUCUUACAUUUGCUGUCCAUGUGCUCUCCUGUUGAAGCGGAAUGAAAACCUAAAAGCUCCAAAAUUUAAGGGGUUGUGUUUGAAAAUAUAAUUAAAUCAUGUUUUUUAAAAGUUUUAAAAAUUAUUUUUUAUAUAUAUUUUCAGAUUGUUUUGAUAUUAAUAUCAAAAAUAAUUUUUUAAAAUAAAAAACACUUUAAACAUCAAAAUUUUAAACUCCCAUACAUGUCAAAAUGGUAGACCCAUAAUAUUUGCUGGAGAGAAACAAUGAGGACAUUCUUUGCUCUCCCCAAUCUAUGCCCGAAGGUCGAUGUGCAUGUGAUGUGUCUUCCCACCAUGUGAUGUGUCCUUAAUAAUUUGAUUAAUUGCUGUUAAUCUUUGAUGUCUUUAUUCACGAUUUUUCCACAAUAAGAUACUGUGUCGAUGGUCCUGCCAUGUUCUAAUUUAAUAGCAUAUAAAAAUAAAAAUCAAUACUUGUAAAACUUAAAUACCAACUAGAGUGUUUAUUUAAGUAUUAUAAGUUUUUAUAAAAAAAAAACAAAAUAUGGCUAAUUAAUAUAAAAACCAAAUAAAUAUUGAAUAUUAAAAUUAAAAAAAAAAAAAAAAAAUUGAGGUUGUUCAUUGUUUAUAUGAUGAUCAAGCACCAUAAUAUGCUUCAAUCCUAAAGAGAGUAAUAUAUAAUUCUUGAUUGGGUAUUUUUUUUUUUUUAAAAAAAAAAAAAACACUAAUAAUAACAUCUUUAACUGAAAGGACACAAUAUGCGUGUUGCGCGAGCUCUGGUUGUUAAAAGCCUGGCAGUGUCAUUAUUUGUGAGAAACCGUUUCAAAUCAUAGAAAUCAAAACAAGCAUUUAUGGCGUUAUCGUGCGAUAUCGAAAAGAUACGCGCGAGAGAUCUACAAAGCUCGAGCGGAAGACUUGAUGACUUUGUGGAUUCAUUUAUACAGAUCUGUAAACGGUAUUGUUAAGAGCCCUAGUCAUUGUAUACCCAACCUUUCAAUUUCAAUAGAAAGGAGGAAGUCAGUCAAUACGGGUGUCUGCAACCAUGGAUUCGAUCAAGCGUUUAGCCCCGAGCCCCUGUGUUUCCAAGUCCAAACACAGGAAACAAUAUUGGGUACGAAACAAAUCUAGUUAUAUUUCUAUGUUUUUCUUAUAAAGAUUAUUCUUAAUGCUUGUUUCUUGACUUCUUGUUGCUAUAUAUCAUGUCAUUAUCCCCAGAAAUUAAAAAUUAUUAUUUUUCUUAUACAUGUUAAGAAGAACAGAGAGAGGAGAGAAACUAUAAAACGAUUGGAAACAGAUAUGAUCGAGAUCGGUGAGGGACAACAACGCAUCAGAGAAGGGCAACGAGAAAUAAGACAAAAGUUUGAAGAGAUAGGAUCUGAAUGCCGCAGGCUCAAAGAGGAGACGAUGAACAUAGCCAAGCAGAGUGAUUACAACCAAGUCAGGAUAAACCUAAUGUUUAGCAUCUUGAAAGCCCGUGAAGACAACAACUUUGCCCAUGCUGAUCACCUUACUGGGCUCCUCCGGUUGGUUAAAUUCCCUUCGCCAUUUCUUUUCUUAAUUCUUGGGAUUUCGGAUUUCAUAAUUAAUCUUGCUAAUGCUAGCUAUUACAAGGAGAGAAACAUAAGUUAACGAACUCAAAAUAAAAGAAUCAAAAUGCACCCUUGAUAAUUAAUCUUCUCUCAAUAAUUGUGUUUCCUAUUCGUUGUGUUGGCAGCAAGGAAAUGGAAAAGCAGGAACAAGGAAAGGCAGGCCUGGUUGGCUGACUCAUGAUCAUGGAAAACGACGAGCAGUUUGCCUUUGCAGUGACUCCUGAUCGUCUUUUCUUAUUAAAAUGAAAUCAUCAGUCCUAAAUCUAGAUAUGUAUCGACAUUAGUCUUCCCUUGAUAUCCUUCUUCCUUUGAUGAAGUAUUCAUUUGAUUAAGGAUUUGCGUUCUCUUUCCGAAUUGAAUGUUUUGAGUUAUAGUACAUACCAUGUGAAUUGCCGGGCGAUGCCACCGAUUGUUAUAUAAACGGUAUAAGCAUUCGGUUGAGUAUAAUCUGAGGUAAUCGAAGAAGAACAUAGGCCGACAUAAUUAAACAAAAUGAGAAAAAAAAUAAAAAUUACUAGAAGUAUUGAGGUUAAGCAAUGCAAUCACAAGCUUUAUGUUAGAGAAACGUAAAGUCUUAACUAGCCUGUUUAGCUUUGCAGUAUUCAGUUGUUUUUAUUUAUUUUGAUUUUGUUUUUUAAGAAUUAUUUUUCAUAUUAAUUUUAAAAUAAAUAAAUAAAUAAAUCAUUUUUUUUUACCAAAAAAGGGUGUGGCUUCAAUAACAAAUAGUGAAAAAGUCUCAAAUACAAAGCAACAAGUACAUAAUAAAUUACCUGAUUGUUAAUCAAGGUAUACAUAAAUUCACUCGAAUAUUUAUAAUUAUUAAAAUAAUAAUAAUAAAGAAAGAAAGAGCUCCAGACUUUUUGACCGUGCAUUCUCAUUUCACUUUGAAUUCCAGUGAGAUUGAUAAUUUCUUUUGGAAAAAAAAACUUGUUUAACUUUGUCUCAGGUGUAGAAAGGUGUUUUCAAUGGGAUUUAUUAGUAAUUAUUAUUUUUAAUAGGGACAACUUAGUUUGUUUGCGUUUUAAAUAAAGUGUAAUGAUUUAAACACUUUUAAAAGUAAGAAAAAUUAAAACUAGUAGGAAUAGUUUUAUGGUUUUAUAGUAAAAGAAUGAUAUUGCCCUUAAAAGAAAAUGAUAAAACUUGUAUUCAGAGUCAUUUAGAUCUUUUCAAUACAGUUAUUUUGUAAUUAUAUAUUUGAAUUAAAAACAAUUAAAUCUUUAAUUAUAUUUAUAUAAAUAAUUAAUAUAUGUCACAUACAUUUUAGCAAGUGAAAGGCGUUCAUGCUCUUAAGAUGAUGUUUGCCUCCCCUAACAAUGGUUAAAAGUUGUGUAAACAAUGAUGUUUGAAACGAUGGGUCAUUCUCUUUGCGAUGGUGGGAUGCUUGUUUACGAAUGAAGUGUGGUUGAGCUCCUUAUAAACAUUUUUCUUUUCCUGUUUUUUCUUCCUCUUUUAGUCUAGAAAUUGAUGCCAACUCUUUUAAAAAUUUAUUGUGUUCUCUAGUUUGUAUUUUUAUUAAUUUUGAUUAUCAUUUGUUUUUGCUUUUAAUGCAUUUUGAUCUUUAAUUGAUUUGCAAUUUCAUCCAUAAGAAUUUUGUUUCAUUUAAUUUUUAUAUGAAAUUUGAUCUUUAUUAUUUUAUUUCUAUUUUUUUUGUUUUUAUACUUAUCUAGAUUUUUUUUUUCAAUUUUACCUCUCAUUAUUUUAUUUUAUUUAAUUUUUGCAUUCAAUUUUAAUCUUUAUUUUUUUAUUGUUAUUUUUUUUAUUUUCUUAAUUUUUUUCAUUUAGCUUUUAUGCUAGAUUUAGUCAUUGUUGUUUCGAUUACUAUUUAUUUUGGUUUUUAAUUUUGGAUGAUUAAGGAUUAUGCUUAGUGAUUUUUUAUUGUUUGCUUUUAAUGAGAUAAUCUCGAUCUUAUGAACCGGGUCACUAUUUCAAGGAUUAAUCCGAUUUAACUUUGAUUUUUUAUUCCUUUUUUUUAAAACAAAAUAAUUACUUUUUAAUUUCAUCAUUUGGUUUUAGGUUAUUAGGUCUAAAUUCCCCCCAUUUAUGUGGUGUUAUUUCGGUGUUAUAUCUUAGGUUGAGUUUUUUUCGAGAUAACUCUGGUUUUUUUUUUUUUAAUUUAGUUUUUCUAAUUUAAUUUUUUAAUAUUAAAUUAUUGAACCUUACAAAUUGUAUUUUGUUCAUUAUUUUUUUUUUUUAUAAGUUUAACAUGAUCUCGAGGUCAUUGUCUUUUUUUUAAAUUAAUUUUUUUAAUCUGGAACUCCCAUCACGGGUCGCAUGGUAGUCCAACUAAUCUGAGUUAAGUUAAAGUUUUUUCAAUUUUUUUUUAUUUUUUUUUACCAGUCGCACGCACUGUGUAGCGUAAAACUAAAAGUUGUAUCAGAAGAAAUGUGCAGGACAUGUGUAGGUCGGCUAAUGCUGGCCAUAAAUAGCCAUGUCUGUGAAGCUAUGCAGGUGUGCUAGUGGAGACAGAAACACUUAUGCAGAAAAGUGUGACGUAUGUUCCGGUAGUUCCAAAAAGAAUCAGAUAAAUAGUUGAGAAAUUUAAUAUUUUAAAGUUGUUUUAUGGGAAACAUGAUAUUUCAAAAAUAUAUUUGUUAAAUGACUUCACAAUUUACGAUGACGAGAGAAAAAUAAAAUAAAUACUUUAAUUAUACAUCAAAUCUAUCAUAAAAAAAACUCGACCAUGUGAAUCUAAUAAAAUUAAAGAAGUUCACCAAGUAGAUCACACUCAUUGAAGCUCUAAUUAUAAUAUCACUAGCAGCAUUAUAAAGUUCUGGACAAAAUAAAUCAAAUAUAAACAAUAAAGAUAAUCAAGGAUAAUGAUAAUUGAAGUGGGUCAUAUAUAAUAGGCGGAAAACAUGGUGAAAUCUAGGGUUAAGAUUAAAAAAGAUGAUGGAAGGGAAGAUGAAGGUGAAGAUGAAGAACAACAAUCAGAUUAGCGAGAAGAACAGGCAUCAAAAUUCUGGAUGGAGAAGUUCCAGUUUUCCAGACUGCAACAGUAGAAAUGAUAAGACCACCUGCUAAGAAGGCCAGUAAUCUGUCGUGAAUGAAGAAAUUCAUGGAUGGUAGCAGCGAGAUUUAGCAUGAAGCAUUUAACUUGUUUUCUCUAUUGUAAUUCAUGUCGCUAGAGGUAAUAGAAUUGCACUUGUCUUGCCAGCAUUUAUAGAGAUAUGAAUCUGUUGAAAGGGAAAUUAAAUCGUAGAGUCAACCUUGUUGCGGAUUCCAAAGGGAAACCAUGAUGGUUUAACAGUUAAGCUUUGGUCAUCAAUGCAAUUGGUUCAGGUUGGGGUUUGGAAGAGGUUCGGUGAACUGCGGCGGCCGGAGCCUAAUCUGAUUAGGAGUGGGUACCCUAGGUUGGUUCGGUGGAACAAAUUGAAACUGGAAGUUGAGAAUGUUUCGUUGGUUCUAGACUCGGAUAAAGAGAGUUUUAGCUCUGGAAAACUGGGAUUUCCUCAAGUUUUAUGGAGAAAAAGAAAUGUGGGCCGGCGACUGUUGGUUCUAGUUUGAACGACGAUUUAAUGGCAUUUGCUCGACGCGUCAGGAUUUCAAUGCUGUGUGGAGUUGGCUGUUCAGAACAGUAUUUACCUCAUAGGGUUGCAAUGCAAUUCGGAACCGACGAAGAUCUUUCAGGGUUGUGUUGGUCAAUGCUCUAAUUAACAGACCUGAGAUUGCAGAGAGCUUAAAGCUUUUGUUGAAGAGCUUGAGCAGAUGAUCACACGAAUAAAAACAGCAAGAUUAAGACAAAAUUGUUAACCUAGCUAGCCUUCUUCGUGAGAACGAUUUGCUUGAUUUUAUUUUAUUUGAAUUCAUGGCUUCUCUUCUCUGUUGGCUAUGCUACUAACAUGGCAGUAGCAUUGCAGCAGGUUCCUAAUAUGGAUAACUCCCGCCAUUGACAACAGAUGCAGAACAAGGUUAAAAGGAUAAAAGAAAUAAAUAUAUUCAUAUGUAACCAUGCACUAUGGCAUGAAGUUAUUAUCACAGUGUGCAGACAAAUGCCGUGUGCUGCUGGACCCAACGAGAGUCUACUAGGCGUUAUCUGUUCUGCCCACCCAAUCCUGACUAGAUAAGCACUUGAGAGUUUUUUUUUAUUUUAUCCAGUUGAUUUGAAGUGUUGUUUUGAUAUAAAUUUUGUAAAGAAGAGAUAUUUUUGUUAAGACCAAUUUGAUAUUUGUAUUUUUGUUUAAUAAUUUUAUCUUUUAAAAAUAUCUUUUAUUUGUUUAUAUAAAAGUUUAAAUAAAAGCAAUAGAAACUAGUAGAAUUCAACAUUAAUUAAAUAUUAUGAUGAUGUUUGAUUCAUGUUGUGAUAACUUUAUAAAUAUUAAAUUCAAAUAAAUUAUGAUGACUAAUUUAAAAUUAAUUAAUUAUUAAAAGAGUUUUUUUAAUAUUAAAAUGAUGAUAUAUUAAAUCAACCUAAACUUUACAGUUUAAUUUGUAAAACCUUGACUUGAAUCAUGAACUCCACUUGACAAAUUAAAAAAAAAAACAUUAAGGUUGUUACGACGAUAAAGCACAAACAACAAUAAUAAUUCAAGAUUUUGACUAAAAGUAGAAUCCAUUAUACAUGUGUGUUGAUUAUUGAGUUAUAACCCGUCCGUAUAUGAAAAGGAAUGAAUUUAGCAAAGUUAUUAAACUCGGUCGACCUAAUGGUUGGACUGGUCUGGGUUUGUUAAAAGACCAGUCAAUGCAAUGACCCGACAAAACCUGGUCGACCCAUGACCCGGAUGAGACCCAAUAUUUUUUUUUUCAAACGUGGUUUUUUUUUAUAACCUUCUUUUUUAUAUUUUUUUUAGUUGGUUAUUAACACUUUUUAAAGUUCACUAUAUAAAUACUAAAAAUAUAUUUUAUUUUUUCAAUGUAGAAUUUGAAACCCUUUAGUAUAUACUCUAUGUUCCCAAGAAAUUUUUUUUUUUUUCAAUGUGGGAUUUCAAGCCCUUUCAUAUAUAUACUUUAUGUUCAUAAGAAAAAAGUUAUGUUUUUUCAAAGUGAGAUUUGAAACCAUAUAGCAUAUAUACUCUGUUUCCAAGAAAAAACGUUGUUUUUUUAAAUAUGUAAUUUGAAGUUCCUUCGUAUAUAUACUCCAUGUUCAUAAGAAAAAUGUUAUGUUUUUUCAAUGUGAGAUAACAAACGUUUUGGUUUAAAUACUUCAACUUAAAAGUAUGACAUAAUAUAUUUUUAAUGUGAGAUUUAAAGCCCUUUAAUAUAUAUAUAUAUAUAAUAUAUAUAUAUAUAUAUAUAUAUAUAUAUAUAUACACCUAUAUUCCUAAAAAAAAAAAUUAUUUUUUCAAUGUAGGAUUUAAAGUCCUUUUGUAUAUAUAUUUUAUUUUCACAAGAAAAAUGUUAUGUAUUUUUCAAUGUAAGAUUUUAAAUUUUUUAUUAUACUUUAUCUUUAUAAAUUUUUUUUUUAAAUUAAUCCAAUUAACCUGUCUACCUUUAGAGCUGAUUUAAUAAUUUUGGGAUGGAAGGAAUAUUUAAAAUAGUCUUAGAACAAGUCACAUUUGUUUGCUACCCGAUUUGAAAAGAGAAAGUUGCUCUCCCGUAAUGUCUACUUUUAAAAUCAAAAGAAUCCAACAGAAAACGGCAACCAUGACCAUGCCAAAAGGGCUUAAACAAAAGCUCUACAAGAUCAAUCCACGAAAGUUAAACUCCAUUGAAUCAAGAUUUGAAUGUGCUGGGCAAUGAAAAGCCCACGAUUAUAUAAAAUAAAAAAAUAAAAUUCAAAGAGAGUACUGGAAUGCUUGACUAUAACUGUAAAACCAAGCCUAGUCCAAUAAAUCUAUGUAAAAAUCCGAUAAUUCAGAACCUAGAUUAAUUGCUAUCAUGAUUUAUGACCUAACCAAUUUAGUUACAUUAAUGUUGACCAUGAUUUAGUCUAGAUUUAUCCUAGUCAAAAGAGAAAAGAAAUUCCAUAAAAUCUUAACAUGAUAAUCGGGGUCAUUUUCUUCGAGCAAGCAACGAAUCUCCAUAAAAUCUUAAACAUAAUUAGUGCAUAGAUUACCAAAUAUAUAUAUAUAUAUAUAUAUAUAUAUAUAUAUAUAUUGUACCAGAUGAAACAAAACAAUUCUCAGUACGUGGCGUUGUUAUACCUGAGAAUGAUCUAAAAAAUCAGGUCAUAGAUUUCUAGCCUAUACACUGAUUUUAUUAAAAGAAUGAAGAAAGAAAUGGAAGUAAAUAUAAACAAAUUUCUAAUACGAACGAAUAAGGCAAGACCAACAAUGUCAGGAUCCUUGAUCAAACACAGAGCAUUCUUAAUAAAGUAUAACAAGAAUUUAAAUGAUGAAAAUAAAGUCUUACUUAAAUUUGUAAUGCAAAUCAAUACACGAGAUAUUGAUUAUAGAGGAGAGUGGAUAUGGGUUAAAGGUACGAGUUACAAGGGAGAAUAAAAUUUUCUCAGGGAAAAUGAUUGUCUGCCUUCUGAGGAUUUAGAAGUCCCCUUUUAUAAAUGAGUUGACACGGAAGAGGCCAAAAUGUCUUGUUGGGAAAGCUUGGAGAUUUCGUUAGAACCCAUGUGAACCCAUGUUGUAUUGCUUUCCAUGAUUGGGUGACGACAAAAUGAAAAAUGCCUAUGUUUUUUGUGGGACUUUCAUUUGUUGUCUUCUUGCCACCGACACUGGAUUUGUUUGUUUGUAAUAGCAGGUGAUAUUUGUAAUAAAAAACCUAAAACUAAUGGGCUUAAAAUUAAAAAGGACUCAAAACAGUUGAGUCGAAAAUAUAUGGGCUCUAAACAGAUGAGCCUGAGAAAGCCUAAAAUACUCUUUUUUUUAUUUUAUUUUAAUGUCGCUUGAUAGGCGGUAGGAUACCAAAACAGUCAUCUUCAUUAUCGUCUCCAAGGGAAAUGGUAAGAGAUAUCGAUCCAGAUGAGCUGGAUUGGGACAAGACCGUUUUCGGGUCUUGGCUUUGUAUAAUGCUUUGGACUAUUUGUAGGUAUUCUUCUUUAGUUUUAGUAGGCAAUGAAAGUUGUCGUUUGAGACUUUCGGGCUAGAAACUUUGAUUGAGGAUGAUGAUCAAUGAUGAGAGCUAUUUGAUGUUUUUGUAACCAUUCCGUAACAACUAAUUUGGAACUUUUGGAUUCAGCUGCAAAAGAAUCCUACCAUUUGAUUUUGAACUUGCGAACAAGUACUAGAUGUCCGAUUUGUAGAUUAUAAUCAUAAAACCAUGAAUAUACCCAUGGCAUAAAAACUUUUAUACAGAAAAUGAGAAGGGAAGAGAACUUCCUUUCAUAAGGAGCUAGUUAAAAUUUAUUUUUGAAAUGGAGGUAACUAUUUUCAACUAGAGGAUGGUCUUUGAGGUAGUCAACAUGACAACCAUAGUAGUCCCACCAUUUGAGGAACCAGAGUGGGAGGUUUGUAGUAUUCAUGUCAUUAUGGAAGUAGAAAAACCAAGAAUGACUAUGGUUUGGAUUUUGUAGUAGGAAGGCAUUGAACUAUGCCUGUUGGUAAUCCUAGUACGUAUAGGAAGUAUUGAAGUCCUAGGGGUUUGUACGGAAGUGUAUGAGGAAGGAGAGAUGUUGAUGUAAGGGUUGUCCCCAAUCUUUAGGGUGAAUGACUUUGUGAAUGAUACAUGUAGAAUAUGGCGGUUCAGUGUGAUCAGAAUGAAGUUUGAAGUGUUUGAACUUGACAAAAUUGGUAAUUUCAAGGAUUGCGGCAUAAUAGGUGGUUUGGCUAAAUUCCAGGGUUUGUAGUACCAAUUUGAAUGGAAAAUUUUGGAAGCAACAAUGGAAGGGUUUUCAUGUUAAAAUCCUUCUUCCAUAGUUAAAAUAUUUUGGAAAGUAGUUUUGAAAAUAUAUUUGGAUUUGGUGUUUGGAAAACUGGUUUAUUGUAAAGAAAAGAGGGGUUUUGAAGCAGAAAUGCCUCCUUGAGGUUUUGAAAAUGAUUUGGAAAUAGAUACGGAGUCGCUGGAGGCCUAUUGAGACACUUUUUAUAAUGUUAGGAGUAAUUCUGGUGAUUUGGAUAUAGUGUCAACCCAAUGUUGAACUGCGUAUGUUUGUACAUAUGGUGGUUUUAUAGUUUCUUCUUCUUCAAUAACUGCCUCAUACCAGGAUUUGAUGGGUUUGACAGCUAAGAUAGCUGAAGACAUGAGUUUUGAAAAAGGCUUGGGGCUCUCUGAUUUUGUAGGCUGGGUUUGAGGGGCUUUCCCCUUGUUUUUGGCCUUUGCUUUAGGAGGCAUCAAUACCUAUUUUGAAGGAAUUCUCAGGUUAGGAAAUCAGAAUGGAAUUUGAAUCUCCUUUAAUGUAGACAAUAUCGAAAUAAAAAAUGCUUAAAAUAGCUUGCCAUCUGGCAAAAAUCUGUUUUAAAGCAAGAUUUUGGACAUCUUUUUGUAGAAUUUUUUUUUUGCAGAUUUGCAAUUAACACGUAAAAGAAAUUUUUGAUUUAAUAAAUCACUUUGAAAUUUUGUAAUACAGAAAACAAUUGAAAGGAUCUUUUUUUAUAGUAGAGUAAUUUUUCUGGCAAUCAUUCUAGUGGGCGGAUGUGUAUUGGAGGAUUUGUUCUUUAAGAAUCCCACCAUAUCCUAGGUCAGAGACAUCGGUCUCGACAAUCUUAGGAGCUAACGGGUUAGCUAAAUGGAGGAGAGAAAUAGUUUGGACCUCUUACUUAAUCUGUUUGACUAGGUCGGUAUGGAUGUCGGACCAAGAAAUGAGGUUUGUUUUUAACGUGUCAUGUAAAGGUUUGGCUAGACCGCUAAUAUUGGGAUAGUAGUCUAGAACAUAAUUAAGACUGCCUAAAAACCUUUGCAAUUGGGUUUUAUCGGUGAUCUUAUUAGGAAAUUUAUUUGUAAAGGUUAGAGACUUUUUUAUUGGUGUUACAGUGCCUUGGCAAAUAUAAUGCCCUAGAAAACGGACACGAUUUGGAAGAGAGAAAAUUUUGUUUUAGAAACAAUUAAACCAUUUUUUUUUGUAGUAUGAAAGGAAGUAUGUAGAUGUUUGAAAUGUUGAUCUAUGGAAUGUGAAAAAAUAAUCACAUCGUCAAUGUAAACAAUGCAGAACUUUGAAUGUGCAUUGAAGAUGUCAUCCAUGAUGCGUUGAAAUUCAGAUGGUGCAUUUUUUAGGCCAAAGGGCAUAACAAUCCAUUUGUAUUGGCCUAAAGGAACUAUAAAAGCAGUUUUGUAUCUAUCUUUGGGAUCAAUCUGUAUUUGCCAAAAUCCGGAUUUCAUAUCGAACUUAGAAAAUAUGAAUGCAGAGUGCAAUUUUUGUAACAUAUCUUUUUUGUUGGGGAUUAGAUAUCUGAUCCAUUUGAGAGCAGAAUUUAAAGGUUUGUAAUUGAUCACAAGUCUUGGUAUGCCUCUUUCGAUUUCAGAGUUUUUAUUCACAUAAAAGGCUGCACACAACCAGGGUGAUCGAGACUUUUGGAUAAGACCUUUAGACUCGCAAUCGCGGAUUUCAAGUAUGCAAUGCUGUUCUAAAUCAACAUUUAUUUGGAUAGGUCUUGCUUUUGUAGUUAUAAGAUUUUUUGAAAAAGUAUCUUCAUAUGAAAGAUCAACGAUGUGUUGUUUUCUUUUCUAGAAAGCAUUAGGUAAGUCUGAACAGAUUUGUUGUUCAAUCUUAUUUUGUAAAUCAAUGAUUUUCUUUUGUAAAUCAGAGUUUUGUAAUUGUUUGUUUAUACGACCAAAAAAAAAAAGGUUUUGUAAAUCAUGUAAAUGGAAUUGUUUUCCAUGAAUCAGUGCAUUGAUAUGAUAAGUAUGUAUGGAGCAUGCUUUAAUCAAAUUUAAAUUUCUAGUCUUAGAUUUCUCUAAGAAUGGGAGAACAAGUUUGAUGCUAUUGAUUUUGGAAGUAAUACAAUUAUGAUGUGCUUGAUAUGGAGUGAUCAUGUCGAUGAAUGGAGUGCCAAGAAUGAUAGUAUGAUUAAUAUCUUUUGUAACAACAAAGAAUGUUUUAAGAGAAAUACCUUUGUUGAAAACAGAGGUUGAGUUUUGCCUGCAAUAUGUAACUUUGAAUUAUUAGCAGCAAAGAGUUUUUCAGAGGUAUUUUGUAAAAAUUAUUUUGGAGCCACACCUUCUUUGAUGCAGUUCAAAUAUGCACUUGUGUCAAAUAAGACAAUAGUGUCAAGUUUGAAAUCUCUUGAGAAAAUGAGAGUAAUUCUAGUUAAAUAUUUUUUUGAAGAUAUUUGUGUUAAUACGUUAAGGAAAUCAUUUAGAACAUGCUCAAUAUUUGUAAGUGUAUGUGGCAAUGCAUGAGAUUCAAUGGUUUGAUCUUCUAUAUCAGACUCAGUAUCAAACUAGCUUUCAAUUAUGGAUAGGAGAUGUUGUAGUAUGGCAGAGUCUUUUUGUUGGGCUUGGUUGAGGGUUUGUAAUUCGGAUUUGAGGGUUUUGAUCCUAGAAUGUAAUUCUGAAAUGGUGACUGUGGUUUUGAAUUUCUUUUUGUUAAGGAUCUUUGUAAGGUCAUAGGUACUGGUACUAGUAGAGGGUAGUAUAGAGCGAUUUAGAGGGUUAGAUGAAAGGUAAUCUGGUUGGUUGAAAUCUUUCAAUAACUUAUCUAAGUAGGUUUUUUGAAGUUGAGGAUCAUCAAGUCUUUUGAUAACCUCAAGAAUGAAUUUCUAGUCUUGGGUUAAGACGUUAAUUUGUUUGGAAUUUGUAGAGGCAUAUGAAGUAGCACUAGUAGUUGCUAUUUUAUCGAUUUGAAAUUCUUCUUCAGAAGUGUCUGAAGGAGAGUGGUCAAUGUCUGUGACUUCAAUGUAAAGAUUUUAUAUUUGGUUGAUGGUAUCUUCAUUUAUUUUGAGCUUACAAAGUUUGGUAUUGACCUUGCAGAAACGAGAUAUAUGUCCUUUCUGGUUACAUUUGUAACAAAUAAUGUUUUUAAAAUUAAAUGUUGGUUUGGAUUUUGACUGAAAAUGUCCGUGGGGCUUGGUAAAUUUAUAGAGCUUUUUGUAGUAAGGUUGAUUUAAUUUGGAACAAAACUGUUUUCAUAGUCGACAAGCUCCUCUCUUUAUCCAUUCAGUCCUGAAAAGUAACUAAGACAAUUUCAGUUAUAUUUUCAUGUUCCAAUUAAACACUUUUUAUUUUUUUAUUCUCAAAGAAAAAUAUAUUUUUUUAUUAAAUAUAUAAAGAUCCAAUCAUGAUUUUAUAAUAAGAAUAAGAGAUAUUUUAGUUGGAAAUGAAUCUAAAUGUUAGCUAGAUAAAUGUUUUGUAUGAAUCCUGUAGACCAUUCUUACGAGGAUCGUGAGAGGAGGGCUACAAUUCGUAGAAAAGAAACUGCAAUUCCUUGAGGUCAUCCUGCACUUGUAGAAAAAAUGUAGAAAAUAGAAUUUGAAACAGAAAGUUGAGAAUGUUUCCGUUGGUUCUAGACUCGGGAAAGAGAGAGUUUUAGCUCUGGAGAACUGGGAUUUCGUCAAGUUUUAUGGACCUGUUUUUGGUCAAUGCUCUAAUUAACAGACCUGAGAUUGCAUAGAGCUUAAAGCUUUUCUUGAGCAGAUGAUCACACGAAUAAAAACAGCAAGAUUAGGACUAAAAUUGUUAACCUAGCCUUCUCGUGAGAAUGAUUUGGUUGAUUUUGUUUGCUUUGCUAGUUAUGUUAACAACUCAAGCUUGGCUUUGACAUAUGAAGCAGAUGAAAGUGUUUGGGCUUUAAGCUUUUCAUGACCACCCGGCCGGAGAUUGAAUUCCUGGCUUCUCUUCUUCUGUUGGCUCUGCUACUAACAUGGUAGUAGAGCUUUCGACUGUCAGGCAUGGCGUCAGUAUCGUCAGUAUCGUCACUACUAACAUGGUAGUAGAGCUUCCUUGAAGUUGAAUAUGACUCCUCGGAAGCUCUUCGAUGCCAGUCUUCACAUCGUAAUGUAUUCGCUUCUAACUUAUUUGGGGUCUUUUCAGAAUGGAUCUUGAGAAUGUUCCUCCUCCUGUUCUUCGGUAUCUUUUGGACGCUGAUAGAAUAGGUAUUGCAGCAGGUUCCUUCAUAGAUCAUAACUCCCACCAUUCACAACAGAUGCAGAAGAAGGUUAAAAGGAGAAAAGAAAUAAGUAUGGUAACCAUUGCAGCAGCAUGGCAUGAAGAGGUGUGCUGGACCCAACGCACAGUCUACUAGGCGUUAUCUUUUCUGACAAGCCAAGCAGUCGAGAUUUUAUUCGAUUUUAUCCUGUUGAUUUGAAGUGUGCGAUUUGAUCGAGAAAAAAACUGAAAAGUAUAUUAAAAAUAAAUAAUAAUUAAAAAAAUCGAAUGGGAUAGGGAUAAGGAAUCGCGGCGAUAAACAAACAGAGGAGGCAAGAUAAUAGAUAUGUAAAACCUUCCCCUUCCACCAACAGGGCAUUCCAACAGCCUUCUCGUGCAAACAGUCGAAAAUGCUAGAAAAGAGAAAGAAUAAAAGUGGAUUCAACCUCAGCCAAACUCGUACCUGAAGAUAGAAGAAAGUGAAUUAUUCACGAGUAUACAUAAUAGUAUUUGCUUCCGUAAUCUUGCCACCAAUGUAUGGAAUCGAUUAAAUUAAUUAAAAUUUUUUAAAAAAUAAACCGAUUUGGUUCGGUGGAACAAAUUGAAACAUGAAGUUGAAAAUGUUUCAUUGAAUAUGACUCCUUGGAAGCUCUUCGAUGCCAGUCUUCACAUCUUCAUAUUCAGGCUCUUCUUGGCUCGAGGAGACCAUGCAAAUUCCUUCAUUAAUUAAUUACGGUGAAGGUAAUCAAUGUAUUCGCUUCUAACUUGUUUCGGGUCUUUUCAGAACAAUUCAAUGGAUCUUCAGAACGUUCCUCCAAUUCUUCGGUAUCUUUUGCAGCAGGUUCCCUCAUGGAUCAUAACUCCCACCAUUCUCAACAGAUGCAGAAGAAGGUUAAAAGGAUAAAAGAAAUAAAGGUUAAAAGGAUAGUAACCAUUGCAGCAGCAUGGCAUGAAAAAGCUUAUCACAGUGUGCAGACAAAUGCCGUGUGCUGGACCCAACACACGGUCUGCUAGGCGUUAUCUGUUCUGCCCACCAAUUCUUACAAGAUCAGCACUUGAGGUUUAUUUGCUUUAUCUUUAUCUUUAUCUUUAUCUAUCUUUAUCAGUUUAACAAUUUUAUUUUUUUAAUUAUAUAAUAAUAUUAUAAAAUUAAACUAAAUAUUAUGAGAUGUUUGAUUGAAACUAAACAACUUUAUAAAAUAAUUCUUGAAUGGAUAAUCUGAAAACACCAAAAAUAAUUCAAGAUUUUUACUGAAACUAGGGCCCGUUAUGGAUGUUGUUGGUUAUUAGGCUAGAUAUGUUAUGUCCAUAACAAAUGAAUCUGAUCUAAAUAUUUAAAAGAAUUAUUAAAAAAAAUAAACAGUGUAUAUAUAUAUAUAUAUAUAUAUAGAUAUAGAGGCCCAUAGAAGAUCAGCCUGAUUAGGUUUCUAGCGUUAUCGUGCGUUAGUUAAAAAUAAAUCUGAUCAAAUACACAAUUUUGUCAACUAACACUCCUCCUUAAGUUAGUGCAUAAAUAUCUAUUAUGCCUAACUUGUCAAUCAUACUCUAAAAAUUCUUAUUUAAUAUUGUGUUAGUGAGGAUAUCAGCUAUAUGACUUGCAGAUUUAACAAACAAAAAACAUAUAAUUUUUUUAUUAUCUAAAUUCUCUUUGAUGAAAUGACGAUCUACUUCAACAUGUUUAGUUCGAUCAUGUUGAACAUGAUUAUGUGUAAUCUGCUUAUUAUCACAUUACAAAUUGAUAGGAUCUGUAUACUUGAUCUCCAAAUCCUUGAAAACACUCUUGAUCCAUAACAACACAUAUUCCCUAAACCAUUUCUUGAAAUUCUACUUCUACACUAGAUCAUGCUACAACUUUCUAUUUUUUACUUCUCUAAGUAAUCAAAUUCCCUUCCACAAAGGUCAGAUAACCAAACAUAUACCUUCUUAGUGUUUGAUCUCCUGCCCAAUCUGUAUCAGUAUAGCCUUUAAUAUUUGAGACACAAUUCUUUGAGUACUAUAAACCUUUGUCAGGCGCACCUUCAAGAUAUCUCAAGAUUAUGUAAACUGCAUCCAUAUGCAUAAAUUGGCUCACAAUACAUAUAAUAUAAAUUAUAUCAAAACUAUUGUGGGUUAGGUAAAUUAACUUACCCACAAGUUUUUGAUACCGACCCAUAUCUAUAGGGACUUGAUCUGGAAAGAUCCCAAGUUGACGAUUCAUUUGUAUUGGUGUUUCAAUAGGUUUGCAAGCUAGCAUCUCAAUCUCACUUAGAAGAUUUAAUACGUAUUUAUAUUGUGAAUGGGAAAUUCCUUGUUUGGACCUUACUACUUCAAUGCCAAGAAAAUACCUUAGUUGUCCCAAAUCUUUCAUUUUGAAUUCUACAAACAAGUACUCUCGUAGUGUCCUCAUUUCUUUAGGAUCAUUACCUAUCAAAAUCAUGUCAUCUGCAUACAUAAUGAAUGUCGUUACCCUUCCAUCUUUAUGUUUUACAAAUAAUGUAUGAUCUAUAUUGCUCUAUUCAUAACCAGCUGCUUUCAUUGCCAAAGUAAACCUCCCAAACCAAGCACGAGGAGAUUGCUUUAAACCAUACAGAGAUCUCUUUAGUUUGCACACUCUGCCUUCGUGUUUGGAACUUUGUUUUAUUCCAGGCAUAAGUUCUAUUUACACCUCUUCUUCUAGAUCACCGUUCAAGAAAGCAUUUUUUACGUUGAAUUGUUGUAGGGGCUAAUCUCAAUUUGCAGCAAUGGAUAUGAGAAUAUAGAUGGUGGUGAUCUUGGUUACUGGUACAAAGGUCUCUUGGUAGUCGAUACCAUAUUUAUGGGCAUACUCUUUGGCCACGAGUCUCGCUUUAUAUCUAUCUAUGCUUCCAUCCGCUUUAAGUUUAACAAUGUAUACCCAUCAACACACAAUCACCUUUUUUUUCUGUUGAUAACACAACAAGUUCCCAAGUGGAGUUCUUUUGUAAGGCUUCCAUCUCUUCAUUCAUGGCCUUUUUUCACCUUGAAUCUGCCAAUACAUCCUACACAUUAUUAGGAAUAUAUACUUUGGAUAAUUGAUUAAUGAUUAGUGCAUAAGAUUCCAAAAGUCCAUGAAAAGAGACAUAGUUAUUGAUAGGAUAUUUAACAUUGGUUUUACUAUACAGCUCGUAUUGUUUCUUUGUAACACCUUUAUUAGGUCUUUGUGAAUACCUAGGAGUGGGUUGAGAUGUAUCCUUAGUGGUGGGAUUAUCUAGGAUAUUUUGGGCAGAAAAAUCUAUGGUUGAUGGUGCGAGUAAGUCACUCAUCACAGUUUCUUCCUUAUUAAGGUUUGUAGCUUCUGUGUCACCAGCACACAAUUCGGUCAUCUCAACUUCUUCCCCAUCAUGGUUUACAACAUCUAUGUCACCAACAUAAUCCCCACAAAGAUCACUGUCCAAUGAUAAAUUCCUCUUGUUUGGAAUAGUUUAAGUAUUAGUGAACGAAGUAGCAUUAUACUCGUUAUUAUUCAUCCUUUUUUUCAAAUGCCACUAGCUACAUAAAAACACCAUCAUCCUCACUUUUAUCAAAAACAAUAUUGCAAAGCUCACCUUUUUCAUACACAUUCCCCCCUGAAGAGGAGAGCCUAAGUCGCUUGUUAAAUAAUAAGGAUUCAUUUCACGAAAGGAGACAUCAAGAGAUAUAUGUAGCUUAUGAGUUUGAGGGCAGUAACAUCUGUAUCCUUUCUGAAAAUUAGAGUAACUAACAAAUACACAAUAUUGUACAACCAAAGGUUUUAGGUUCGAAGUUUGGUUGAUGGGGUGUGUAAAAGAAGGUUUGUAAUUUUUAGUAUGGGGUCUGGAAAUCAAUCACCCAGGAAGGCACUAUAUUGAUAAUGUAGACAGUAGACUUAAUAGCCUCUCCAUAAUAGAAGGGAGGCAUAUUCAUUCCAAAAAAAGAUGCACGUACCACCUCCAUGAUCUGCCUAUUUUUCCUCUUCGCAAAUCCAUUUUAUUGAGGUGUGCAGGUGCAAGAAGUAUGAUGUCUAAUUCCCUGUUUUCGAAGAUAAUCACCAAGCAAGUUCUCAAGAAAUUCCAUGGAAUUGUCAUAUUGCCAUACCUAAAUCUAUUUGUGAAAUUGAGUUUUCACCAUGUUGUAAAAUUCCUAAAAAGUAGUACUUGCAUCACUUAUCUUAUGUAAUAAGGAUACUCACGUCAUACGAGUGCAUUCAUCAAUAAAGGUAAUAAAAUAACGAGUUUUAGCCAUAAAUGGGAUGACUAUAAAUCCCCAAGUAUCAAAGUGAAUAACCAUAAGGGUUCAGAGCUUUUGUUGAAAGAGGGAAAAUAUGGUUUACUAUGGCUCUUUACCAAUUCACAAAUGUCACACUGAAAAUCCAAAAUAUGCAAUUCUGUAAACAAAUUAGGUUUUAAUUUCUUAAGGUAACUAAAGGAAAGAUGCCCUAGUCUCUUAUGCUAGAGCCACACCUUAAACAGCUUCCUAUCACCCAUCAUCACAAAACAUGCCUUAAUGUACUGCCAUAUGCUAGUUGUUGUCAAUUUCAAGUAGUAGACACCACAACCAAGAGUCUUUCGGGUCAAAAUAUCUAGAAAAACACAAUAAAAAGGCAAAAAAGUUAUAGUGCAAUUUAGUACUAAAGUGAUUUGGCUUACAGAUAACAAAUUCCAUUCAAGACUAGGAACAACCAAUACUAUAUCAAAAGUUAUGGCAGUAGUUAGAGCAAUGGAGCCCUUUCUUGUAAUAGGGGAGAUAUCAUCAUUGAUUGUAGAUAUGACUUGUUAGGAUGAUGAGCGAAGAUUUUGUAAUUUACUAGAGUCUCUAAUCAUAUAAUCGGAUGUACUAGUAUCAAUAAUCCAACUAUUAUCCAUAGUAAUAGCAGAAAGAACACUAGCCUUACCAACACUACCUGGCUGAGUUAAAUUAGGAGGAGGCAUUGAAGUCCCCUCCUGAAUUAGAAGGCUUUCACCUGAUUUAGCUAUUGCAGCUUUCCUAGUAAUGUUCUUUCAUGGUUUUUUUUGAAAAAUCCCACCAGGAUAUCUAAUAAGCUCAUAGCAAUGCAACGUUGAAUGGCUAGAUUCACCACAGUGGGUACAAACAUAGUUAUUUGGCUUUCAUUAACCUUGACUAUUUUUUUCUUUGGUAGAACUAGAACCUAUCCCUCGCUGGUUUCGGUUAACUAUCAUGACUGUAUUUUUAGAGACCGGUCGAGAAACUCCAAUAACUUGUCGAUGUUGUGAGUCUCUUCUCCCACAUGCGUAGGCUGCUUCCAGGUCCAGUUUUGGUUCCUUUCCAAGAAUAUCCCCACGGAUUUGAUCAUUUUCAGAAUCAAGACCGCUUAAAAAAAAUGUACUCACAAUCUCAUCAGCACCGCAUGAAGUUGUACAAUCCCUUCAAUAGAUUCUUAUUUGGAUGUGCUGCAAUAUCGAUUUCUGAAAGAUUGCAACAAGUUCAUUAUAAUAUAUGGGUAAAGGCCUACCAUUUUGAGUGGUUGAAAAGGACUUGUAAUUCAUUUCGACCAAUUGUGUUUCAUCAAAUCCAUUGUAGAAUCUCUGCAUCUAGUGGGGGCUCAUUGAUUCGAUGAGCCAGCUCUUUACUUUAUGAUUUUCGAUAAUCCAUGUAUCAUAGUUCGGAUCGUUAGGUGCAAGUUUCACUGUUGUCCCAAUUAGAUACCCAACCUUGUUGCGGGUCCCAAUAUGCAUCUCUAUCAACUGCAGCCAUAACAUAUAGUUACCAUAUACUGACGGGAAACUUGUUGAAUGAUAAUUGGGUUUGACAAAGGAUUGUGUGGAGUGGCUGGAACAAUUGGAUUUCAUUCUUGUUCUGCUAUUGUGAUUUUGUUUGUAGGAGGAAGUCCCUGGAAUACAAAGGUCAAGGGAGAAUGCAGGGAAGAAUAGUUAAAAAAAAAAAAAAAGUUUUUCAAGCCUGAGCUCUGAUAUCAUGUUGAUUACGACAUUCAACCGAAGCUUUUCAUUCUGUAAAUAUUUCUGCGCGCUACAAUGUAUUCAUCUUUUCAGGAAAUAUAUAUAUAAAGGAAGUAAAACGUCCUAGUAUGCCUAAACUCCUAUUCAGGGUAAGACUAUCUGUACAAGGAAACAACUACAAUCUUGGAAUCCAUACGUCUCGACAGCUAAUACACAAUCUUGCCAGCUACCACUAUCAAAAUGGUAGACCCGUGAUAUUUGCUGGAGAGAAACAAUGAGGCCCUUCUUGGCUCUCUCCAAUCUAUGCCCGAAGGUCGAUGUGCAUGUGAUGUGUCUUCCCACAUGAUGAUCCUGACAGAGCAAGGCCUAACACUUUUCCAGUGUCCUAAAUAGUUUGAUUAACGUGUCUUCCCAAUUUUUAUUUUUUUUAAAAAAAAACAAUAAUAAUAAUCAAAAUAUUAACUGAAAAGAGGACACAAAAUGCGUGUUGCUUGAGAUCUGGUGGUUAAAAGCGUGGCAGUCUAUUAUUUAUGAGAAACUGUUUUAAAUCAUAGAAAUUAUAACAACAUUUUCUGGCGUUAUCGUGCGAUAUCGAAAAGAUACGCGCGAAGAGAUCUACAAAGCUCGAGCGGAAGACUUGAUGACUUUGUAGAUUCAUUUAUACAGAUCCGUAUAAAUGAACGGUAUUGUUAAGAGCCGAUGUUAUUGUAAACACAACCUUUCACUAUCAAUAGAGAGGCGGAAGUCAGUCAAUACGGGUGUCUGCAACUAUGGAUUCGAUCAAGACUUUGGCCCCGAGCCGCCGUGUUUCCAAGUCCAAACACAGGAAACAAUAUAAGGUACGAACCAAAUCUAGUUAUAUUUCUAUGUUUUUCUUAUAAAGAUUAUUCUCAAUGCUUGUUUCUUGACUUGUUGUUGCUAUAUAUCAUGUCAUUAUCCCCAGAAAUUAAAAAUUAUUAUUUUUCUUAUACAUGUUAAGAAGAACAGAGAGAGGAGGGAAACUAUAGAACGAUUGAAAACAGAUAUGAUCGAGAUCGGUGAGGGACAACAACGCAUCAGAGAAGGGCAGCGAGAAAUAAGACAAAAGUUUGAAGAGAUAGGAUCUGAAUGCCGCAGCCUCAAAGAGGAGACGAUGAACAUUGCCAAGCAGAGUGAUUACAACCAAGUCAGGAUCAACCUAAUGCUUAGCAUCUUGAAAGCCCGUGAAGACAACAACUUUGCCCAUGCUGAUCACCUCACUGGGCUCCUCCGGUUGGUUAAAUUCCCUUCGCCAUUUCUUUUCUUAAUUCUUGGGAUAUUGGAUUCGAUAAUUAAUCUUGCUAAUGCUAGCUAUUACAAGGAGGGAAACAUAAGCUAACGAACUCAAAAUAAAAGAAUCAAAAUGCACUGUUGAUAAGUAAUCUUCUCUCAAUCAUUGUGUUUCCUAUUCGUUGUGUUGCCAGCGAGGAAAUGGAAAAGCAGGAACAAGGAAAGGCAGGCCUGGUUGGCUGACCAAUGAUCAUGGAAAACAAGGAGCAGUUUGCCUUUGCAGUGACUCCUGAUCGUCUUUUCUUAUUAAAAUGAAAUCAUCAGUCCUAAAUCGAGAUAUGUAUUGACAUUAGUCUUCCCUUGAUAUCCUUCUUCCUUUGAUGAAGUAUUCAUUUGAUUAAGGAUUUGCGUUCUGUGAUCCUAGUUGAAUGUUCUGAGUUAUAGUAUAUAUACUAGGUGAAUUGCCGGGCGAUGCCGCCGGUUGUUAUAUAAACGGUAUAAGCAUUCGGUUGAGUAUAACCUGAGGUAAUCGAAGAAGAAGAAGAUAGGCAGACAUAAUUAAACAAAAUGAAAAAAAAUACCAGAACUAUUGAGGUUAAACAAUGCAACCACAUGCUCUCUGUUAGAGAAACACAAAGUCUUAACUAGCCUGUUUAGCUUUGCAGUAUUCGGUUGUUUUUUUUAUUUGGAUUUUUAAAAUUUAUUUUUUAUAUUAAUAUAUUAAUUUAAAAAUAAAAAAAAAUUAUUACAAAAAUUAUUUUUUUAGAAAACAACAGUGUGGCAUCAAUAACAAACAGUCUCGAAAAGUCUCAAAUAUAAAGCCACGUGUGCAUAAUAAAUUGUAAUUAAUUUGGAAUUUAUUUUCUAAAUAUUACUAAUUUAAAUGUUAUAAAUCUCAAAGUAAUUUAUCUGAUUUUUAAUUUUAUAGUUUUGAAAAAUUAAUCAAAAUAUAAAUAAGUUGGUCUAGACAUUUAUGAUUAUAUAUAAAAAAAAACAAGAAGAAAAGAAAAAAUUAAAGAGCUCCAGACUUUUUGACCGUGCAUUCUCAUUUCACUUUGAAUUCCAGUGAAAUUAUUAUUUUCCUUUGGAAAAAAGAACUUGUUUAACUUUGUCUCAGGUGUAGAGAGGUGUUUUCAAUGGGAUUUAUUAGCUAUCAUUAUUUUUAAUAGGGAGAAGUUAGUUUGUUUGCGUUUUAAAUAAAGUGUAAUGAUUUAAACACUUUUAAAAGUAAAGAAAAAAAACUAGUAGAAAUAGUUUUAUGGUUUUAUAGUAAAAGAAUCAUACUAUCAUUAAAAAAAUAUAUUAUAAAACUUGCAUUUAAAAAUAUUUAGGUCUUUUCAUCUUUUCAACACGGUUAUUUUGUAAUUAUAUAUUUGGAUUAAAAACAAUUAAAUCUUUAAUCAUAUAUAAAAAAAAAAUUAAAUGGUUGAUGUGUGUCUCACAUGCGUUAAUAAGCGGAAAGUGCUUAUGCUCUUCGGGUUAUAUGUGUCUACCCUAUCAAUAGUUAAAAGUUUGUGUCAAUGACAAUGUUUGAAACGGUGGGUCAUCCUCUUUGUAGUGGUGGGAUGCUUGUUCAUGAAUGAAUUGCGGUUGAACUUCUUAUAAACAUUUUUUUUUCUCGCUCUCUCCUAGUUUAGAAAUUGACACCAACUCUUUUAAAAAUCUAUUAUCUAUUGUGUUCUUUAAUUUGUGUUUUUAUUAUUUUUUAUCCUUAUUUUAUUUAUUUUCAAUUGUUUUUACUUUUAAUGCAUUUUAAUCUUUAAUUGUUUUGCAAUUUCAUCCAUAUGAAUUUUAUUUUAUUUAAUUUUUAUAUCAAAUUUGAUUUUUUUUUUGUUUUUAUACUUUUCUAGAUUUAUUUUUCAAUUUUACCUCUCAUUAUUUUAUUUUUGUAUUCAAUUUUAAUCCUUAUUUUUUAUUGCUAUUUUUUGUUAUUUUCUUAAUUUUUUUCAUUUUUAAUUUUAGUCCCUCAUUGUUUGUUUGUUUGUUUCAUUUAGCUUUUAUGCUAGAUUUAGUCAUUGUUGUUUUGAUUGUUAUUUAUUUAGGCUUUUAAUUUUGGAUAAUUAAUGAUUUUGCUUAGUGAUUUUUUAUUGUUUUUUUUAUGAGGUAAUCUCGAUUUUAUGAACCAGGUCAUCAUUUUCGAGGAUUAAUCUGAUUUAACUUUUAUCUUUUCAUUUCUUAAAAAAAAAAAACCAAAAUGAUUAUUUUUUAAUUUCAUCAUUUUAUUUUAGGUUAUCAGGUCUAGAGUGUUUUUUUUUUUUUGCUUUCCUUUAUGUGGUGUUAUUCCGGUGUUAUAUCUUAGGUUAAGUUUUUUUCGAGUUAACCCAGGUUCAUUCAAGUUUUUUUUUUUUUGAAUCUUUUUCAAUUUAGUUUUUCCGAAUUUAAUCUCUUAAUAUUAAGUCAUUGAGUCUUGAAUUUUUGUUUUUCAAUGAAUUUAACAUGUUCUCAAAUCUUGAAUCUCAAAAUUUUCUUUUUUCUAUUUUUUAUAUUUUUUGAAAUUAAUUUUUUUAUCUCAUUAUUUAAAGUUAUGUUAUUAGACAUUCAAUUUUGUAAUAUUUUUUAUUUUUUUAUUGUAAAUUAUCAUGGAUAGUUAGUUAGUCAAAUUAACUUAGGUUAACAAAGUUUUUUUUUAAUAUUUUUUAUUUCACUAUCAUCUCGAGGUCAUUGUUUUUAAAAAAUUAUUUUUUUUAAUCUUGAUCUGGGUCGCAUGGUAGUCCAACUAAUCUGAGUUAAGUUAAAGUUUUUCUCAAUGUUUUUAUAAAUAAUUUGUUUUUUAAUUUUACCAGGCUCACAACAGUGUAGCGUAAAACUAAAAGUUGUAUCAUAAGAAGGUUGAGGACAUUUGUAGGUCGGCUAAUGCUGGCCAUAAAUAGCCAUGUAUGUGAAGCUAUGCAGGUGUGCUAGUGGACACAAAAACACUUAUGCAGAAAAGUGUGCUGAAUGUUCUGGUAGUUCCAAAAAGAAUCACAUAAAUAGUUGUGAAAUUUAAUAUUUUAAAGUUGUUUUAUGGGAAACAUGAUAUUUCAAAAAUAUAUUUGUUAAAUGACUUCACAAUUUACGAUGACGAGAGAAAAAUAAAAUAAAUACUUUAAUUAUACAUCAAAUCUAUCAUCAAAAUAACUCGACGAUGUGAAUCUAAUAAAAUUAAAGAAGUUCACCAAGUAGAUCACACUCAUUGAAGCUCUAAUUAUAAUAUCACUAGUAGCAUUAUAAAGUUCUGGACAAAAUAAAUCAAAUAUAAACAAUAAAGAUAAUCAAUGAUAAUGAUAAUUGAAGUGGGUCAUAUAUAAUAGGCGGAAAACAUGGUGAAAUCUAGGGUUAAGAUUAAAAAAGAUGAUGGAAGGGAAGAUGAAGGUGAAGAUGGAGAACAAUAAUCAGAUUAGCGAGAAGAACAGGUAUCAAAAUUCUGGAUGGAGAAGUUCCAGUUUUCCAGACUGCAACAGUAGAAAUGAUAAGAACACCUGCUAAGAAGGCCAGUAAUCUGUCGUGAAUGAAGAAAUUCAUGGAUGGUAGCAGCGAGAUUUAGCAUGAAGCAUUUAACUUGUUUUCUCUAUUGUAAUUCAUGUCGCUAGAGGUAAUAGAAUUGCACUUGUCUUGCCAGCAUUUAUAGAGAUAUGAAUCUGUUGAAAGGGAAAUUAAAUCGUAGAGUCAACCUUGUUGCGGAUUCCAAAGGGAAACCAUGAUGGUUUAACAGUUAAGCUUUGGUCAUCAAUGCAAUUGGUUCAGGUUGGGGUUUGGAAGAGGUUCGGUGAACUGCGGCGGCCGGAGCCUAAUCUGAUUAGGAGUGGGUACCCUAGGUUGGUUCGGUGGAACAAAUUGAAACUGGAAGUUGAGAAUGUUUCGUUGGUUCUAGACUCGGAUAAAGAGAGUUUUAGCUCUGGAAAACUGGGAUUUCCUCAAGUUUUAUGGAGAAAAAGAAAGGUGGGCCGGCGACUGUUGGUUCUAGUUUGAAAGACGAUUUAAUGGCAUUUGCUCGAGGCGUCAACGCUGUGUGGAGUUGGCUGUUCAGAACAGUAUUUACCUCAUAGGGUUGCAAUGCAAUUCGGAACCGACGAAGAUCUUUCAGGGUUGUGUUGGUCAAUGCUCUAAUUAACAGACCUGAGAUUGCAGAGAGCUUAAAGCUUUUGUUGAGAGCUUGAGCAGAUGAUCACACGAAUAAAAACAGCAAGAUUAAGACAAAAAUUGUUAACCUAGCUAGCCUUCUUCGUGAGAACGAUUUGCUUGAUUUUAUUUUAUUUGAAUUCAUGGCUUCUCUUCUCCUGUUGGCUAUGCUACUAACAUGGCAGGAGGCAUUGCAGCAGGUCCUAGAUGGAUAACUCCCGCCAUUAACAACAGAUGCAGAACAAGGUUAAAAGGAUAAUAGAAAUAAAUAUAUUCAUAAAGUAACCAUGCACUAUGGCAUGAAGUUAUUAUCACAGUGUGCAGACAAAUGCCGUGUGCUGCUGUACCCAACGCAGAGCCUACUAGGCGUUAUCUGUUCUGCCCACCCAAUCCUGACUAGAUAAGCACUUGAGAGUUUUUUUUCUUAUUUUAUGAAGUUGAUUUGAAGUGUUGAUUUGAUAUAAAAAUUUUAAGGAGAGAUAUUUUCCUUCAAAUAUUAAGACCAAUUUGAAAUUUGUAGAUUAACUUACAAAUUUUUAAUAAUUUUUAUUAAAAAUUAUCUUUUAUUUAUUUAUAUAAUAGUUUAAAUAAAAGCAAUAGAAACUAGUAGAAUUCAGCAUUAAUUAAAUUGAUUUAGAUUUAGAUAACUUUAUAAAUAUCAAAUCCAAAUAAAUUAUAACUAAUUUAAAAUCAAUCAAAUAUUAAAAGAAUUUUUUAAUAUUAAAACAAUGAUAUAUUAAAUCAAUCUAAAACUUUACACUUUAAUUUGUAAAACCCGUAACUUGAACCAUGAACUCCACUUGAAAAAUUAAAAAAAAUUAAAUUAUUAUGAUCAUCAAGCACAAACAACAAUAAUAAUUCAGGAUUUUUACUGAAAGUAGAAUCCAUCAUACAUGUUGUUGAUUAUUGAGUUAUAAUCGGUCCGUACAUGAAAAGGAAUGAAUUUAGAGUUAUUAAACUCUGUCGACCGGUGGAUGGACUGAUCUGGGUUUGUUAAAAGACCAACCGGUGCAAUGAUCCGGCAAAACCCAGUCAACCUGUAAGAUUCCACAUCGGGGGGUGAGGGGUGUGUUGCUGGCCUUAUAAGUGGUACUGGUUGCCGACUUGUUAUACGCGUUUUGGGACGUCAGGCUUAGAAUUAGGCUCGCGUCACCAGGAACAAAACCGUGAGGGCGGUAAGGCCUAAAGCGGACAAUAUAUGACAAGUUGGGCCGGGCCGUUACACGACCCGUGACCCAGAUAAAACCCGAAUUUUUUUUUUUAAAAUGUGGUUUUUCUUCUACACUCCCUUUUUUAUUUUUAUUUUAGUUGGUUAUUAACACUUUUUAAAGUUCACUAUAUAAAUACUAGAAAUAUAUAUUUUUUUUUCAAUGUGGGAUUGAAACCCUUUAGAAUAUACUUUAUGUUUCCAAGAAAAAAGUUAUUUUUUUAAUGUAAGAUUUCAAGCCCUUUCAUAUAUAUACUUUAUGAUCAUAAGAAAAAAGUUGUGUUUUUUUAAAGUGAGAUAUAAAACCCUUUAGUACAUAUACUCUAUGUUCCUAAGAAAAAAGUUUUUUCAAUAUGUGAUUUGAAGCCUUUUCGUAUAUAUACUCUAUAUUCACAAGAAAAAUAUUAUGUUUUUUCAAUGCGGGAUAAUAAGUUUUUUGGUUUAAAUAUUUCAACUUAAAAGGAUGACAUAAUAUAUUUUCAAUGUGAGAUUUGAAACUCUUUAAUAUAUAUAUAUAUACACACCUAUGUUUCCAAAAAAAAAAUUAUUUUUUUAAUGUGGGAUUUGAAGUCUUUUCAUAUAUAUAUCAUAUCGUCACAAAAAAAAAUUAUAUGUUUUUUAAUGUAAGCUUUAAAAAUUUUAUUAUACUUUACAAUCUUCCAAAAAAAAAAAAGUUUUGGAUUAAUCCAAUUAACCUGUCUACCUUUGUAGCUGAUUUAAUAACUUUGGGAUGUAAGGAAUAUCUAAAAUAGUCUUAGAACAACUCACAUUUGUUUGCUAUCGAUUUGAAAAGUGAAAGUUGCUCUCUCGUAAUGUCUGCUUUUAAAAUCAAAAGAAUCUAACAUUAAAUGCGGGGUAUUGUUGCCGUUGCAUAUUUUUAUUUUCUGUUUUAUAAAACUAAAAACAGUUUUUUUCAUAAUUUUCAGGUUUUUUCAUUUUGUUUUAAUGACCCCAGUUAACGUGUUUGAGCGUAAUUGUGUUUGAUUUUGAAAAUUUUUUUUACUCAGAAAGUAUGUUAUUUUUAAAAAAAUUAUUUUUAAAAUCAACACAUCAAAAUGAUUUGAAAACAUUAAAAACAUAUUAAUUUAAAAAAAAAAUUAAAUUUUUAAAAAUACUUAUACAGUGCCAAACAUGUUAUCACCACCUUUAUUUUCCCAUAUUUAGAAGUUAUUUAAAAAACAGAAACCAAAGAUACAAAACGGCAACCAUGACCAUGCCAGGGCUAAACAAAAGCUCUACAAGACCAAUCCACGAGAGUUAAACUCCAUUUAAUCAAGAUUUGAAUGUGCUGGGCAAUGAAAGCCCACGAUUAUAUAAAAUAAUAAAAAAAAAAAAAUCAAAGAGUGGAAUGCUUGACUAUAACUGUAAAACCAAGCCUAGUCCAAUAAAUCCAUGUAAAAAUCCGAUAAUUCAGAACCUAGAUUAAUUUGCUCAAUGAUCAUGAUUUAUGACCUAAUCAAUUUAAUUACAUUAAAGCUGAACAUGAUUUAGUCAAGAUUUAUCCUAGUUAAAAGAAAAAAAAAUUCCAUAAAAUCUUAACCUGAGAAUCGAGGUCAUUUUCUUCGAGCAAGCAACGAAUCUCAAACAAAAAAAAAAAAUACACUAGGUGAAAUCAUCAGCCCUCAACCUAGAUAUGUGUUGGAAUUCGUCUUCCCUUAAUAUCCUUCUUCCUUUGAUGAAGUUUUCAUUUGAUUAAGGAUUUGUGUUCUCUGUUCCAAGUUGAAUGUUUUGAGUGACAAUACAUACUAGGUGAAUUGCCAGGUGAUGCCGCCGGUUGUUAUAUAAACACGAUGUAAGCAUUCGGUUGAGUAUAACCGGCGGUACUCGAAGAAGAAGACACGCAGACAAAUUAAACAAAAUGAAAAAAAUAAUACCAGAAGUAUUGAGGUUAAACAAUGCAACCACGUGAUUUAUGUUAGAGAAACGUAAAGUGUUAACUAGCUUGUUUAGAUUUGCAGUAUUCGGUUGUUUUUUUUUAUUUUUAUUUAAUUUAUUUUUAAUAUUAAUUAUUAAUUUUAAAAUAAAAAAAUUAAUUAAAAAAUCAUUUUUUUUACUAAAAAAUAGUGUGGCUUCAAUAACAAACAGUUUGGAAAAGUCUCAAAUACAAAGCCACACGUGCAUAACAAAUCGUAAUUAACUUGAAGGUGUCAAGAUCUGAACUCUGAGCUUUGGGAGGUUAGUAGGAAUGUCGAGGGCAUUUGGAGGCAGAAAUCCCGCCAAAACUGGUGCAAAAUGGGGAUAAAAACACUCGGUUCUUCCAUCUUUCGACAAGCUUGAGGAAUGGUCGGAACCACAUUAGCAAGAUUGAGCAGAAUGGCAGAUUUUUUAGACUCUCCCAAAUGACAUCAAAGAGGGGUGCUGUCAACUUCUUCUCAAGUCUGUUUGCCAAGCCACAAUGAAGAGAAUUGAAAUGGGAGACUCAAGGUUUCUCUAAAUUUCAGAGAAAGUUCAGUUUGGUUAGAAAGACUACCUUCAUUGGAGGAAGUGAAGCAAGCCGUAUGGGAUUGUGAUGGUUCAAAAGCCCCGGUCCUGACGGGUUCACCUUCUCCUUCUAUAAAAAGGAAUGGAAUCUUAUCAGCCCUGACAUCUUUGUGAUGGUCACAGAAUUUUUCAGAACAGGUAAAUUACCAAAGGGGAUCGGCUCGUCCUUCGUGACUUUGAUCCAAAGACCAAGAGGCCGAGCACUUUCUCCCAAUUUCGACCAAUUAGUUUGAUUCAUGGGUUAUAUAAAAUAGUGGCAAAGCUCUUGUCCACUAGGCUCCGAAGCAUUCUACCAGAUGUGAUAAGUGUAAACCAGUCUGCUUUCAUUGCGGGCGUCAGAUUCUAGAUGGGUUCAUGAUAGCAAACGAGGUUGUCCAUAGUAUUCGUAGCAAAAGGACCACGGGUUUUUGCUAAAGGUAGAUUUUCAUAAAGCCUUCGACUCGAUUUUAUGGGAGCAUAUCGAUUCUACCAUGGGUUAUAUGGGUUUUGGAUCUCACUGGAGGAAACUGAUCUUUGAAUGCAUGUCCACUUCUAAAUUGGCCAUCCUGAUUAAUGGCUCACCAAGCAGAGAAUUCAGUAUGGAGAGGGGUCUCAGGCAAGGGGACCCCCUCUCUCCUUUCCUUUUUGACAUAGCAGUUCAGGGGUAACAGUUCUAUUCAACAGGGCAUCAGAUUCAGGUUACUUUAAAGGUUUGCAGACUUCGCAAGGACAUCACAUAACCCAUUUGCAAUAUGCAGAUGACACUCUUAUUUUCCUGCCAAUGAUUAUACCUCUCUACUGCAUGUCAAGAGGAUCCUCCGCUGGUUUGAGAUCAUUUCAGGACUGAAAGUUAAUUUCUAUAAAAGCUCACUUAUAGGAAUUAAUUUGGAUAACGAAUACACUUCAGGUCUGGCUAACACAAUUUUGUCGCAGUGACUCCUUUCCCAGUCAGAUACCUUGGGUUGCCUCUUGGUGCUAACCCAAAUAGGCUCUCCACUUGGAAACCGGUAUUGUCCACAAUCAGAGCAAAGUUAAGCAAAUGGAAAGGGAAGUUUUUGAGCAUGGCCGGAAGGAUAUGUCUUAUUAAAUCUGUCUUAAACUCUCUACCUCUAUACUAUAUGUCGGUCUUUACUAUGCCAAAGGGCAUUGCAAAAGCAAUAUCCUCAAUCACCGUUUUUUCUCUGGAAGGGCUCCUCAAAUUCACAUGGUAUUUGUAAGGUUGCUUGGCAUAAGGUAAUUAAGAGUAAGCCACUUGGAGGUCUCGGGCUUGGUUCUAUUCACAGUAAAAAUCUGGCUCUGAUGUUUAAAUGGCUUUGGAACCUUGACAAAGGAGUGGCAGGAGGUUGGCAAGAACUCAUCUUACGAAAGUACCGGCCACAUUUUACAAAUGGCCUUCCUGUGUUUGCAGGUUCUUUAUCUCCAACUUGGCGUGGCAUGGUAUCUGCAAUUUCCUUAAAUCACAGCAUAGCCGCUCCCAUCCAAUCCAAUGUUGGGUUUAAGGUGGGUGAUGGGAGAAACAUCAGGUUUUGGUCUGAUUCUUGGCUAGGCUAUGCAGCCCCUCUCCAGUUCAUGUUCCCUAGGCUCUACAACCUCUCCCUGCAGCAAUCUUUAAGCGUUGCAGAAGUUCAUAACCCAACAGAUAACUCAAUCAAUCUUUCUUGGAGAAGACCCCUUCGAUCCCGAGAACUCUGCAUGUGUGAAAGCUUGAUAGCAGAAGUGGAACGUGGCCUAGUCUUCUCUGAUGGUGAAGACAACAAGAUUUGGAAACACCAUAGCUCCAACAAUUACACAGUCUCCUCUGGGUGCCAUCUCUUUGACGGUUUAAAUGUUUCAGGACAUCUUCACUCCCCUGCUUUGCUUUGGAAAGGGUUUGCGCCUCCAAAAAUAGAUGUGUUCAUAUGGCUUCUUUUCAAUGGCAGUGUCUGCACAAAGGGUUUCUUAGCUGAGAGGAGAAUCAUCAAUUAUGAGGAAGCUCUUUGUCCUUUCUGCUGCAAGGAGAUUGAGACUAUACAUCAUCUCUUCCAUCUUUGUCCAAAAUCAUGGUCUCUUUGGGGCAGACUAUUUAGUUGGUUUGGGUGUGUAGGUUGUCUGCCAAAAGACCAUAUGAUAACCUUCAGGAAUGGUCCAACAUGGUAAAAAGGAAAAUUUCAGCGUCAGGCAAUUACCCUUCUCUGUAAAGGAUUAUACUGGUCAAUUUGGAUAGCGCGCAACCACAUGAUCUUUGACAACAAAACUCCAGACUGGGAUGUGAUUUUUGACCUCACCUUUCAUCAGUUAGCCUUUUGGUUGAAGUCCUUUGUUAAAAAUUUCAGCUAUAUAAGCUCUGAUCUUUAUAGGAAUCCUGAAUGUAUCAUGAACUGGACUAACUAGUCAGGUCUAUAGAUUCCUUGUUUUCUUAAUGUUUUUUUAAUUCCCCAUGUAAUCUUCCUUAGCAGCCCUCAUCUCUUUAAUGGGGACGUAUUAUUUAUAAUAUUCUCGAUUACUAUAUAUAUAAAAAAAACUUGAAGGUGUCACCCAAUUAAUUAGAUUUUUAGUUUGCUUUCGAGAUAUUAGUAGUUCGAGUUCUGUAAAUCUUAAAAUUACUAGAGGUUUAUUUGGUUGUUACCUUCAGAGCCUGAACCUCUAGAAAUUAGUCGAGUUACACGUAAACUGACUUUUAUUUUUAAUUUAGUCUCUCAUUGUUUUUUUCAUUUAACUUUUAUGCUAGAUUUAGUCAUUGUUGUUUCGAUUGCUAUUUAUUUUAUUUUUAAAUUUUGGAUGAUUAAGGAUUAUGCUUAGUGAUUUUUUAUUAUUUGCCUUUAAUGAUAUAAUCUCGAUCUAAUGAACCGGGUUACUAUUUCGAGGAUUAAUUCGAUUUCACUUUGGUUUUUUAUUUAUUUUUUUAAACAAAAUAAUUACUUUUUAAUUUCAUCAUUUGAUUUUAGGUUAUUAGGUCUAAAUUUUUUUUUUCUCCUUUAUGUGGUGUUAUUCUGGUGUUAUAUCUUAGGUUGAGUGUUUUUCGAGAUAACUCAGGUUUUUUUUAAUUUAGUUUAUUUAGUUUAUUUUAUUUAAUUUUUUAAUAUUAAAUUAUUGAACCUUAAAAUUUAUAUUUUGUUUUGUAUUUUUUUUAUAAGUUUAACAUGAUCUUAAUGUCGUUGUUUAUUUUUUAAAUUAAUUUUUUUAAUCUGGAACUCCCAUCAUGGGUCGCAUGGUAGUCCAACUAAUCUGAGUUAAGUUAAAGUUUUUUCAAAUUUUUUUUUUUUACCAGUCGCACUGUGUAGCGUAAAACUAAAAGUUGUAUCAGAAGAAAUGUGUAGGACAUGUGUAGGUCGGCUAAUGCUGGCCAUAAAUAGCCAUGUCUGUGAAGCUAUGCAGGUGUGCUAGUGGAGACAGAAACACUUAUGCAGAAAAGUGUGACGUAUGUUCCGGUAGUUCCAAAAAGAAUCAGAUAAAUAGUUGAGAAAUUUAAUAUUUUAAAGUUGUUUUAUGGGAAACAUGAUAUUUCAAAAAUAUAUUUGUUAAAUGACUUCACAAUUUACGAUGACGAGAGAAAAAUAAAAUAAAUACUUUAAUUAUACAACAAAUCUAUCAUAAAAAAAACUCGACCAUGUGAAUCAAAUAAAAUUAAAGAAGUUCACCAAGUAGAUCACACUCAUUGAAGCUCUAAUUAUAAUAUCACUAGCAGCAUUAUAAAGUUCUGGACAAAAUAAAUCAAAUAUAAACAAUAAAGAUAAUCAAUGAUAAUGAUAAUUGAAAUGGGUCAUAUAUAAUAGGCGGAAAACAUGGUGAAAUCUAGGGUUAAGAUUAAAAAAGAUGAUGGAAGGGAAGAUGAAGGUGAAGAUGAAGAACAAUAAUCAGAUUAGCGAGAAGAACAGGUAUCAAAAUUCUGGAUGGAGAAGUUCCAGUUUUCCAGACUGCAACAGUAGAAAUGAUAAGAACACCUGCUAAGAAGGCCAGUAAUCUGUCGUGAAUGAAGAAAUUCAUGGAUGGUAGCAGCGAGAUUUAGCAUGAAGCAUUUAACUUGUUUUCUCUAUUGUAAUUCAUGUCGCUAGAGGUAAUAGAAUUGCACUUGUCUUGCCAGCAUUUAUAGAGAUAUGAAUCUGUUGAAAGGGAAAUUAAAUCGUAGAGUCAACCUUGUUGCGGAUUCCAAAGGGAAACCAUGAUGGUUUAACAGUUAAGCUUUGGUCAUCAAUGCAAUUGGUUCAGGUUGGGGUUUGGAAGAGGUUCGGUGAACUGCGGCGGCCGGAGCCUAAUCUGAUUAGGAGUGGGUACCCUAGGUUGGUUCGGUGGAACAAAUUGAAACUGGAAGUUGAGAAUGUUUCGUUGGUUCUAGACUCGGAUAAAGAGAGUUUUAGCUCUGGAAAACUGGGAUUUCCUCAAGUUUUAUGGAGAAAAAGAAAGGUGGGCCGGCGACUGUUGGUUCUAGUUUGAAAGACGAUUUAAUGGCAUUUGCUCGAGGCGUCAACGCUGUGUGGAGUUGGCUGUUCAGAACAGUAUUUACCUCAUAGGGUUGCAAUGCAAUUCGGAACCGACGAAGAUCUUUCAGGGUUGUGUUGGUCAAUGCUCUAAUUAACAGACCUACGAUUGCAUAGAGCUUAAAGCUUUUCUUGAGCAGAUGGUCACACGAAUAAAAACAGCAAGAUUAAGACAAAAAUUGUUCACCUAGCUAGCCUUCUUCGUGAGAACGAUUUGCUUGAUUUUAUUUUAUUUGAAUUCAUGGCUUCUCUUCUCCUGUUGGCAUUGCAGCAGGUUCCUAUAUGGAUAACUCCCGCCAUUGACAACAGAUGCAGAACAAGGUUAAAAGGAUAAAAGAAAUAAAUAUAUUCAUAUAGUAACCAUGCACUAUGGCAUGAAGUUAUUAGCAUUUAUCACAGUGUGCAGACAAAUGCCGUGUGCUGCUGGACCCAAUGCAGAGUCUACUAGGCGUUAUCUGUUCUGCCCAUCCAAUCCUUACCAGAUAAGCACUUGAGAGUUUUUUUUUUUAUUCUAUCCCGUUGAUUUGAAGUGUUGUUUUGAUAUAAAUUUUUUAAGGAAGAGAUAUUUUUCUUUAAUAUUAAUACCAAUUUGAUAUUUGUAUUUUUGUUUAAUAAUUUUAUUUUUUAAAAAUAUCUUUUAUUUGUUUAUAUAAUAAUUUAAAUAAAAGCAAUAGAAACUAGUAGAAUUCAGCAUUAAUUAAAUAUUGUGAUGAUGUUUGAUUCAUGUUGUGAUAACUUUAUAAAUAUUAAAUUAAAACAAAUUAUGAUGACUAAUUUAAAAUUAAUUAAUUAUUAAAAGAGUUUUUUAAUAUUAAAACGAUGAUAUAUUAAAUCAAUCUAAAUUUUACGGUUUAAUUUAUAAAACCCAUAACUUGAAUCAUGAACUCUACUUGAAAAAUUAAAAAAAACAUUAAGGUUGUUAUGAUGAUAAAGCACAAACAACAAUUAUAAUUCAAGAUUUUGACUAAAAGUGGAAUCCAUUAUACAUGAGUAUUGAUUAUUGAGCUAUAACCAGUCCGUAUAUGAAAAGGAAUGAAUUUAGCAAAGUUAUUAAACUCGGUCGACCUAGUGGCUGGACUGGUCUGGGUUUGUUAAAAGACAAAUCAGUGCAAUGACCCGGCAAAACCUGGUCAACCCAUGACCUGGAUGAGACUCGACAUUUUUUUUUUUCAAAUGUGGUUUUUCUUUUAUAACUUUUUUUUUCAUAUUUUUUUAGUUGGUUAUUAACACUUUUUAUAGUUCACUAUAUAAAUACUAGAAAAAUAUUUUAUUUUUUCAAUGUGGAAUUUGAAACCCUUUAGUAUAUACUCUAUGUUCCCAAGAAAAAAAAUUAUUUUUUUAAUGUGGGAUUUCAAGCCCUUUCAUAUAUAUAUAUUUUAUGUUCAUAAGAAAAAAAUUAUGUUUUUUCAAAGUGAGAUUUGAAACCAUUUAGCAUAUACACUCUAUAUUUCUAAGAAAAAAGUUGUUUUUUCAAUAUGUAAUUUGAAGUUCUUUCGUAUAUAUACUCCAUGUUCACAAGAAAAAUGUUAUGUCUUUUCAAUAUGGGAUAACAAACGUUUUGGUUUAAAUACUUCAACUUAAAAGGAUGACAUAAUAUCUUUUCAAUGUGAGAUUUGAAGCCCUUUAAUAUAUAUACCUAUGUUCCUAAGAAAAAAAAUUAUUUUUUCAAUGUAGGAUUUGAAGUCCUUUUGUAUAUAUGCUCUAUUUUCACAAGAAAAAAGUUAUGUAUUUUUCAAUGUAAGAUUUGAAACUUUUUAUUAUACUUUAUCUUUACAAAAAAAUAAAUUUAAAUUAAUCCAAUUAACCUGUCUACCUUUAGAGCUGAUUUAAUAAUUUUGGGAUGGAAGGAAUAUUUAAAAUAGUCUUAGAACAAGUCACAUUUGUUUGCUAUCGAUUUGAAAAGAGAAAGUUGCUCUCUCGUAAUGUCUAGUUUUAAAAUCAAAAGAAUCCAACAGAAAACGGCAACCAUGACCAUGCCAAAAGGGCUUAAACAAAAGCUCUACAGGAUCAAUCCACGAAAGUUAAACUCCAUUGAAUCAAGAUUUGAAUGUGCUGGGCAAUGAAAGCCCACAAUUAUAUAAAAUAAAAAAAUAAAAUUCAAAAAGAGUACUGGAAUGCUUGACUAUAACUGUAAAACCAAGCCAAGUCCAAUAAAUCUAUGUAAAAAUGUGAUAAUUCAGAACCUAGAUUAAUUGCUAGCUCAGUUGAUGAUCACGAUUUAUGACCUAACCAAUUUAAUUACAUUAAUGCUUACCAUGAUUUAGUCAAGAUUUAUCCUAGUCAAAAGAAAAAAGAAAUUCCAUAAAAUCUUAACCUGAUAAUCGGGGUCAUUUUCUUCGAGCAAGCAACGAAUCUCCAUAAAAUUUUAAACAUAAUUAGUGUAUAGAUUAAUUGGAAUCUUACCAAACAUAUAUAUAUAGAUCCUUCUAGCAUUUUGUCUUUAUUUGUAGUCUCCCUGCAUUUUGUAGUAGCAUGUCAUAUAUAUAUAUAUAUAUAUAUAUAAUUUGUACCAGAUGAAACAAAACAAUUCUCAAUACGUGGUGUUAUUAUACUUGAGAAUGAUUUAAAAGAUUGGGUCACAGGUUUCCAGCCUAUAUACUGAUUUUAUUAAAAGAACGAAGAAAUAAAUGCAAGUAAAUGUAAACAGAUUUCUGAUGCGAAUGAACAAGGCAAGACCAAUAAUGUCAGGAUCCUUGAUCAAACACAGAGCAUACUUAAUAAAGUAUAACAAGAAUUUAAAUGAUGAAAAUAAAAUGUUACUUAAAUUUGUAAUGUAAAUCAAUACAAGAGAUAUUGAUUAUAGAGGAGAGUGGAUAUGGGUUACAGGUAUGAGUUACAAGGGAGAAUAAAAUUUUCUCAGGGAAAAUGAUAGUCUGCCUUCUGAGGAUUUAAAAGUCCCCUUUUAUAGACGAGUUGACAUGGAAGAGGCCAAAAUGUGUUGUUGGGAAAGCUUGGAGAUUCCGUCAGAACCCAUGUGAACCCAUGUGGUAUUGCCUACCAUGAUUGGGUGAAGACAAAAUAAAAAAUGCCCAUGUUUUUUGUGGGACUUUCAUCUGUUGUCUUCUUGUCAUCGACACUGGAUUUGUUUGUUUGUAGUAGCAUGUGAUAUUUGUAAGAAAAAGCCUAAACCAAAUGGGCUUAAAGUUAAAAAGGACUCAAAACAGUUGAGUCGAAAAGAUAUGGGCUCUAAAGAGAUGAGCCUGAGAAAGCCUGAAAUACUCCUUUUUUUUAAUGUCGCUUGAUAGGUGGUAGGAUACCAAAACAGUCAUCUUCAUUAUCAUCUCCAAGGAAAAUGGUAGGAGAUAUCGAUCCAGAUGAGCUGGAUUGAGACAAGACCGUUUUCGGGUCUUGGCUUUGUAUAAUGCUUUGGACUAUUUGUGUGUAUUCUUCUUCAGUUCUAGUAGAGGCAAGAAGAGCUGUUGUUUGAGCCUUUCGGGCUAGAAACUUUGAUUGAGGAUGAUGAUCAAUGAUGGGAGCUGUUUGAUGUUUUUGUAACCAUUCCGUAACAGCUAAUUUGGAACUUUUGGAUUCAGUUGCAAAAGAAUCCCACCAUUUGAUUUUGAACUUGCGAACAAGUACUGGAUGUUCGUUUUGUAGAUUAUAAUCAUAAAACCAUGAACAUACCCAUGGCACAAAAAAAUUUGUAUAGAAAAUGAGAAGGGAAGAGAACUUCCUUUCAUAAGGAGCUAGUUAAAAUUUAUUUUUGAAAUGGAGGUAACCGUUUUCAACUAGAGGAUGGUCUUUGAGGUAGUCAACAUGACAACCAUAGUAGUCCCACCAUUGGAGGAACCAGAGUGGGAGGUUUGUAGUAUUCAUGUCAUUAUGGAAGUAGAAAAGCCAAGAAUGACUAUGGUUUGGAUUUUGUGGUAGGAAGGCAUUGAACCAUGCAUGUUGGUAAUCCCAGUACGUAUAGGAAAUAUUGAAGUCCUGGGGUUUGUACGGAAAUGUAUGGGGAAUGAGAGAGGUUGAUGUAAGGGUUGUCCCCAAUCUUUAGGGUGAAUGACUUUGUGAAUGAUACAUGUAGAAUAUGCCGGUUCUGUGUGAUCAGAAUGAAGUUUGAAGUAUUUGAACUUGACAGAAUUGGUAAUUUCAAGUAUUGUAGCAUAAUAGGAUUAUGGUUUGUCUAAAUUCCAGGGUUUGUAGUACCAAUGUGAAGGGAAAAUUUUGGAAGCAGUAAUGGAAGGGUUUUCAUGAUAAAAUCCUUCUUCCAUAGUUAAAAUAUUUUGGAAAGUAGUUUUGAAAAUAUAUUUGGAUUUGGUUUUGGGAAACUGGUUUGUUGUAAAGAAAGGAGGGGUUUUGAAGCAAAAAGGCCUCCUUGAGGUUUUGAAAAUGAUUUGGAAAUGCUACCUGUUUGAGAUAUAGAGUCAGUGGAGGCCUGUUGAGACACUUUUUGUAAUGCCAAGAGUAAUUUUGGUGAUUUGGAUAUAGUGUCAACCCAAUAUUGAACUGCGUCUGUUUGUACAUGUGGUGGUUUUAUAGUUUCUUCUUCUUCAAUAACUAUCUCAUACCAGGAUUUGAUGGGUUUGACAGCUAAGAUAAUUGAAGACAUGAGUUUUGUAGAAGGCUUGGGGCUCUCUGAUUUUAUAAGUUGGGUUUGAGGGGCUUUCCCCUUGUCUUUGGCCUUUGCUUUAGGAGGCAUCAAUACCUGUUUUGAAGGAAUUCUCGGGUUAGGAAAUCAGAAUGGAAUUUGAAUCUCCUUUAAUGUAGACAAUAUCGAAAUAAAAAAUACUUAAAAUAGCUUGCCAUCUAGCAAAAAUCUGUUUUGAAGCAAGAUUUUGGACAUCUUUUUGUAGAACUUUUUUUGCAAAUUUGCAGUCAACACGUGAAAGAAAUUUUUGAUUUAAUAAAUCACUUUGAAAUUUUGUAAUACAAAGAACAAUUGAAAGGAUCUUAUUUUUUAUAGUAGAGUAAUUUUUAUGGCAAUCAUUCCAGUUGGCGGAUGUGUAUUGGGGGAUUUGUUCUUUGUCAUCUUGUACUUGUUUAAGAAUCCCACCAUAUCUUAGGUUAGAGGCAUUGGUCUCGACAAUUUCAGGAGCUAACGGGUUAGCUAAAUGGAGGAGAGGAAUAGUUUGGACCUUUUUCUUAAUCUGUUUGACUAGGUCGGUAUGGAGAUCGAACUAAGGAAUGAGGUUUGUUCGUAACCUGUCAUGUAAAGGUUUGGCUAGACCGCUAAUACUUGGAUAGUAGUUUAGAACAUAAUUAAGACUGGUUAAAAACCUUUGCAAUUGGGUUUUAUCGGUGAUCUUAUCAGGAAAUUUAUUUAUAAGGGUUAGAGACCUUUCUAUUGGUGUUACAGUACCUUGGAAAAUAUAAUGGCCUAGGAAAUGGACACGAGUUUGGAAGAGAGAAAAUUUUGUUUUAGAAACAACUAACCAUUUUGUUUUGCAGUAUGAAAGGAAGUAUGUAGAUGUUUGAAAUGUUGAUCUAUAAAAUGUAAAAAAAUAAGCACAUUGUCAAUGUAAACAAUGCAGAACUUUGAAUGUGCAUUGAAGAUGUUAUUCAUGAUGUGUUGAAAUUCAGAUGAUGUAUUUUUUUAGGCCAAAUGGCAUGACAUUCCAUUUGUAUUGGCCAAAAGGAACUGUAAAAGCAGUUUUGUAUCUAUCUUUGGGAUCAAUCUGGAUUUGCCAAAAUCCAGAUUUCAUAUCGAACUUAGAAAAUAUGAAUGCAGAGUGCAAUUUUUGUAACAAAUCUUUUUUGUUGGGGAUUAGAUAUCUGAUCCAUUUGAGAGCAGAAUUUAAAAGUUUGUAAUUGAUCACAAGUCUUGGUGUGCCUUUUUCGAUUUCAGAGUUUUUAUUCACAUAAAAGGCUGCACACAACCAGGGUGAUCGAGACUUUUGGAUAAGACCUUUUGACUCGCGAUCGUGGAUUUCAAGUCUGCAAUGUUGUUCUAAAUUAACAUUCAUUUGGAUAGGUCUUGCUUUUGUAGGUAUAAGUUUUUUUGAAAAAAUAUCUUCAUAUGGAAGAUCAAAGAUGUGUUGUUUUCUUUUUCAAAAAGCAUUAGGUAAGUCUGAACAGAUUUGUUGUUCAAUCUUAUUUUGUAAAUCAAGGAUUUUCUUUUUUAAAUCAGAGUUUUGUAAUUCUUUGUUUAUACGACAAAAAGAAACACGGUUUUGCAAAUCAUGGAAAUGGAAUUGUUUUCCAUGAAUCUGUGCAUUGAUAUGAUAAGUAUGUAUGGAGCAUGCUCUAAUCAAAUUUAAAUUUCUAGUCUUAGAUUUCUCUAAGAAUGGGAAAACAAGUUUGAUGCUAUUGAUUUUGGAAGUAAUACAAUUAUGAUGUGCCUGAUAUGGAGUGAUCUUGUGAAUGAAUAGAGUGCCAAGAAUGAUGGUAUGAUUAAUAAGUUUUUGUAACAACAAAGAAUGUUUUAAGAGAAAUGCCUUUGUUGAAAACAUAGGCUUGAGUUUUGCCUGUAAUAUGUAAUUUUAAAUUAUUAGCAGCAGAGAGUUGUUCAAAGGUAUUUUGUAAAAAUCAUUUUGGAGCCACGCCUUCUUUGAUGCAUUUCAAAUAUGCACCUGUGUCAAAUAAGGUAAUAGUGUCAAGUUUGAAAUCUUAUAAGAAAAUGAGAGUAAUUCUAAUUAAAUAUUUUUUGGAAGAUAUUUGUGUUAAUACGUUAAGGAAAUCAUCUAGAAUAUGCUCAAUAUUUGUAAGUGCAUGUGGCAAUGCAUGAGAUUCGAUGGUUUAAUCUUCUGUAUCAGACUUAGUAUCAGACUAGCUUUCAAUUCUGGACAGGAGAUGUUGUAAUAUGGCAGUCUUUUUGUUGGGCUUGUUUGAGGGUUUGUAAUUCGGAUUUGAGGGUUUUGAUCUCAGAAUGUAAUUCUGGAAUGGUGACAGUGGUUUUGGAUUUCUUUUUGUUAAGGAUCUUUGUAAGGUCAUAUGUACUAGUGCUGGUAGAGGGUAAUAUAGAGCGGUUUGGAGGGUUUGAUGGAAAGUGCUCUGGUUGGUUGAAAUCUUUCAAUAACUUAUCUAAGUAGGUUUUUUGAAGUUGAGGAUCAUCAAGUCUUUUGAUAACCUCAAGAAUGAAUUUCUGGUCUUGGGUUAAGAUGUUAAUUUGUUUGAAAUUUAUAGAGGCAUCUGAAGUAGCCCUGGUAGUUGCUAUUUUAUCGAUUUGAAAUUCUUCUUCAGAAGUGUCUGAAGGAGAGUGGUAUUUGGUCAGUGGCUUCAAUGUAAAGAUUUUGUAUUUGGUUGAUAAUAUCUUCAUCUAUUUGGAACUCAUGAAGUUUGGUAUUAACUUUGCAGAAACAAGAUGUAUGUCCUUUCUGGUUACAUUUGUAACAAAUAAUGUUUUUAAGGUCAAAUUUUGAUUUGGGUUUUGACUGGAAAGGUCUACAGGGUUUGGUAAAUUUAUAGGACUUUUUAUAGUAAGGUUGAUCUGGUUUGGAAUAAAACUAUUUUCAUCGGUCGACAAGCUCCUCUCUUUAUCCACUCAGUCUUGAAAAGUAUCUAAGCUAAAUUCAGUUAUAUUUUCAUGUUCCAAUUAAAUAUUUUAUUAUUAUUAUUAUUAUUCCCAAAGGAAAAUGUUUUUCUUUUUAUCAAGCAUGUGUAUCCAAUCAUGAUUUUAUAAGAAAAAUAAGAAUAAGAGAUCUUUUAGAUAGAGCUGGACAUAAAUGUUGGCUAGGUAAAUGUUUUGUUUGAAUCCUGUAGACCAUUCCUAUGAGGAUGGUGAGAGGAGGGCUCCAAUUCGUAGAAAAAAAACGAUUCCUUGAGGUUAUCCUGCACAUGGAGAAAAAAAGUAGAAAAUAGAAUUUGAAACAGAAAGUUGAGAAUGUUUCCGUUGGUUCUAGACUCGGGAAAAGAGAGUUUUAGCUCUGGAGAACUGGGAUUUCCUCAAGUUUUAUGGAGAAAUCCCAGUUUUUGGUCAAUGCUCUCAUUAACAGACCUGAGAUUGCAUAGAGCUUAAAGCUUUUCUUGAGCAGAUGAUCACACGAAUAAAAACAGCAAGAUUAGGACUAAAAUUGUUAACCUAGCCUUCUUCGUGAGAAUGAUUUGGAUGAUUUUGUUUGCUUUGCUAGUUAUGUUAGCAACUCAAGCUUGGCUUUGACAAAUGAAGCAGAUGAAAGUGUUUGGGCUUUAAGCUUUUCAUGACCACCCCGCCGGAGAUUGAAUUCAUGGCUUCUCUUCUUCUGUUGGCUCUGCUACUAACAUGGUAGUAGAGCUUUCGACUGUCAGGCAUGGCGUCAGUACCGCAAAGAGAGGCUGCCCCCCCCUUGAAGUUGAAUAUGACUCAUCGGAAGCUCUUCGAUGCCAGUCUUCACAUCAAAAUUGCUAGUUUAACUCAUCAAAAUUGUUAUUUGUAUCUCUAACAGUUUAAUAUUUUUAUUUAUUUUUAUUUAAUUAGAUAAUAAUAAAAAUGAAAAUUUAUAAAAUUAAAUAUUUGAUUGAAAGUGUAAUAACUUUAUAAAAUAAUAAAUUAUAAUAACAAAAAAAAAUUGCUAUGAUGAAGAGUCACCAUAAUAUUUUUCAAUUCUAAAGAGAGCAGUAUAUAAUUCUUGAAGGGACAGUAUGAAAACGACAAUAAUAAUUAAAGAUUUUUGUGAAAAUUAAAUUUAUUAUAUAUGCUGUUGGUUCUGUUUUAUUUAUAAAAAAAAUAUAUUUAAAUAUUUAAAGGAGUUAUUUGAAAAAAAAAUAUAGGCCCACGAGGGGUGGGCUGGUUUAAAUUUCUGGCGUUAUCGUACGAUUACACGCGAAAAUCUACCAAGCUCGGGCGGACGGAAGAUUUGAUGUUGAUUACAGAUCCGACCCUGUAUAAAUUAACUUCUAUCGUGAAGAGCCCUAGUCAUUGUAAACACAACUUUCAAUUUCAAUAGAAAGGAGGAAGUCAGUCAAUACGGGUGUCUGCAGCUAUGGAUUCGAUCAAGCCUUUAGCCCCGAGCCGCCGCGUUUCCAAGUCCAAACACAGGAAACAAUGGGUACGAAUCAAAUCUAGUUAUAUUUCUAUGUUUUUCUUAAAAAAAAGAUUAUUCUUAAUGCUUGUUUCUUGACUGGUUGUUGCUGUAUAUCAUGUCAUUAUCCCCAGAAAUUAAAAAUAAUAGUUGUUCUUAUACAUGUUUAGAAGAACAGAGAGAGGAGGGAAACAAUGGAACGAUUGAAAACAGAUAUGAUCGAGAUCGGUGAGGGACAACAACGCAUCAGAGAAGGGCAACGAGAAAUAAGACAAAAGUUUGAAGAGAUAGGAUCUGAAUGCCGCAGGCUCAAAGAGGAGACGAUGAACAUUGCCAAGCAGAGUGAUUACAACCAAAUCAAGAUAAACCUAAUGUUUAGCAUCUUGAAAGCCCGUGAGGACAACAACUUUGCCCAUGCUGAUCACCUUACUGGGCUCCUCCGGUUGGUUAAAUUCUCUUCGCCAUUUCUUUUCUUAAUUCUUGGGAUUCCGGAUUUCAUAAUUAAUCUUGCUAAUGCUAGCUAUUACUAGCAGGGAAACAUAAGUUAACGAACUCAAAAUAAA
This 69524-nucleotide long non-coding RNA is filed under the name Populus tremula. RNAcentral's name for it is "long non-coding RNA (PTRE_LNC000329)". The stretch from base 7790 to 7880 matches the Rfam family "MIR478 microRNA precursor family". The record is from RNAcentral. Lineage: Eukaryota; Viridiplantae; Streptophyta; Magnoliopsida; Malpighiales; Salicaceae.